UUCGAAUUUUGCUGAAACAUAGUUGAACUUACAAUUUAGAGUGGGGUACAUACACAGUCACAAACACCCAGUAAUAAUAUAUAUAAGAAAUAAGGUACAGACAGCUCGAUUUUGGCCCCAGGAAUUACCAAUCGAACACCCUUGUCAAUGUUUCCCAAACUCUUCUCCUUAUAAGGCAGACGGCUCCCUUCAAAGAGAAGUGCUCGAAUCCCUCCUGCUAUCUCAACUUCCGUCGGGAACAGGAAACGUAGGAGGGAGCAAAGAAAAAGCCAUCUACUAUUCUUACCUCGACGGAGGCAGCAGCGACAGCUCUCAGGCUUAGCCUCGUCGCGCUGAUGGCCCUCGUCAUGGCGUGUUCGUUCGUCGAGAAGGCCCCCGUCACCGAGGUUCCGGCACCCAGCCCCACCUCCGAGGCCUUCGUGACCACUUCCGCCGCCGAAGGAUUACCUCUUCCUCUGAGGACGCCAUCCUCGCCCGGUUGAGUUCUACUUUACGUAUGUGCGUGCGGUGAUUACGUGUGUGAUUGGCCAUGCAAGUGACGGGUCUGCGUCUUAUCAAGCUGAUGAACUUUGGUCCAUUCCGAAGACAACGAGACCACCGUGGCCGGCUUGUAUUUAUGCACUGCAUGCAAUGACGGAGGAGAGCAAUGGGUGGACGGGCAUCACGCAUGGUGUCCGCUACAUCCUAGCUGUUCACGUGGAUUCUUGGACGUGGAAGGGUCCCAUCAAUUAUGUACGGCGUUUGGCUUCCCAUUUCCUAUGGCCCCCAUCGGCUUCCCGGUGCCACCCUGUAAAGUGUGCCUCCACCGAACCAAAUUAGUUAAGAUUAACCUAUGUUGAGUUAGAUAUACAAAGCUUUUAAUAGAAAAUUCUAGAAGCCAAAUUUGUCAUUGGAAGUGACAAACGCAAUCGGAUUCGCUUCCAAUCUACUCCGUUGACUCAGUAAAAGAUGUUACAGGAAGUCACUCAGCAUCCUCACAACUUGAUUCGCUUUGGGCCGCUCCUCCGGGCACUCUGCAGUGCACAUCAUUCCGAUCUUUACCAUUCCCAUCACCUCCCCUUCGCUUUCAGCGUCAUCGAUCUCUUUGUCUGUGACCACUUCCAAUAGCACCAUCCCAAAGCUAUAGACGUCCGAUUCCUGGGUAGGUUGCUCCUUGCCGUUCACUAGCUCAGGCGCCCUGUACCCGAGCCUGGUCGUCGUCCCCGCCGCGAACAUUGCUCCGUCAGAGAGACAACCUGAGGGAUAGUGCGGCAUAGCUUGGUGGAAGUUGGACGCGAAUCGCAUUAUGCCCCAUUCAGCUAUGCAUGCGUUGCCCUGCUCGUCGAUGAGAAUAUUUGAUGGCUUGAUGUUGGCGUGAACCAGAGGGGAUCGCGCUGGGAAGGCAUGGAUGAAGGCGAUGCCUUCCGCCGCUCCCAUUAGUAUCUGCUUCCUGCUAAUCCAGUCCAAUGUUCUUCCGCUUCCUUCACCUGCACAAGAAAGACAGCCGUCGAAUGAUCGUGCGAUUGUCUGCUGACUUUUGCUGUUCUAAGGAACUUACUGUUGCUCUGCAAGAGGGAGAGAAGGCUUCCGUUGGGCAUGAAGUCGUAGACGAGAAGCUUCUCCUCGUGGGCGUUACAGUAUGCUCUCAGGCUCACGACACGGGGAUGUCUCACUCUCCCGAUGAGAUGCAUCUGCCGGUCGAAGGCCUUGCAAUGGGACGGGAACUGCACGGCGCUGAGCCGCUUGACGGCGACGAUUAUGCCGUCCUCGAGCACUGCCCUGUAGGUGCUCCCGGAAAGUCCUUUGCCCAGUACCUCAGCAGAAGACUUCAAGAGGCAGUCCAACCUGAGAUCUUCUCCUCCUUCAAAGCAAAUCAGGCUUCUGUCCUUUUCCUUCUCUUCACGUUGCAGUUGAUCAGGCUCGAGCUCCCGAAUGCUUGCAGCGGCGCCGUUCAGAGACGUUAUGAGCUUCUUCCUCAACCAAAGGUACAUUCCGACGAUGACGACCAAGCCGAUCGCAAUCACCAGCAGGUCGCUUAUACCAAUGGCUAAGAGGGCAGUGAAACCAACUUUUGUGGAAGAUCUAGGGCUUGAGGAGUCAGUGGCAGACUGUAAAGAAGCUGGAGAAGGGCUGACGGCGGUGGUGUCAUCUGAAAGGCGAGAAACCUCACCGCAGCCAGGAAGAGGUGAGCCGCAAAGGCCUUGGUUCCCUUCGAAAGCCGAAGCUGGGAACUUCGACAGGAGAUCAGUGACCUGCCCAGACAGCUGGUUGCUGGAUACGUUGAAGUCACUAACAUUUGGCAGCCGCAACCCCUCAACCCCACCGGAGAAUUGGUUGUGUUCGACCCUCAGGGAAACUAAGGAAGGCAGCGACACGUUCAGAGUCCCACGUAGUUUAUUGUGGGAGAGGGAGAGACGCCGUAGUCUCGGAUUGUUCAGGGUGGUCAGAUGAGGCAGCGAGCCGGUGAGAUUGUUCCUUCUGAGGCUGAGGACGCGAAGGCGCGUGAGGCCGAACAGAGGCGUCACGCUCCCCGUAAGGGAUGCGUGGUCGAGGCGGAGGCCGACGACCCUGCUUCGGUAGCACGUCACGCCAAUCCACGAGCCAGAGCAUGGAUCGUGACCCUCCCAGCUACGCAAGACGGCGUUGCAGGGGUCCGCGGACGCCUUGAAAUAGAGAAGGAGAUGAGCAUCACGUCCCCUGAGUGCAUGUUCAUGCGCAGUAGUUACAAUUAGGAAGAAGAAGAAGACGAGGAUGAAGUACAUGUUGUGGGACGGCAUUGCUAAGCCGAAGCAUGUGAUACGGUUCAUUUUAUAGAAUGAGCUUCUUAUAGGCAGGCAGCGUUGGUCAAGGGAAGAAGAAAGAGAGAGAGAGAGAGGGAGGCGGGAGGGUUGCAGAUUUGAAAAGGAAUGAUAGGAUUAAAUGGAAUGGACAUGGAGAAGGUUCCAAAUGGGAAGGGUUGUGCGGUCAGUCACUUCGAUGGGUGGGAAAGUCGAAGAGCGGCGACCGAGGCAAAGUUGACUAACGAGCAACGAACGUUUGGGUGCGUUUGCAAGCGAGUAGGGGAAUUGACGUUUCCUAAAUAUGCUUCUUUGUUCCGAGGAACAAAACAGGUCGCCGUGGUAAGACAUCUUUGUUCCUACUGCGCUUGGAUUUGUCUGCCGGGAGUGAUCGAUCGGUUUCUUGCGACGCCGCUGAUGUGUGAUGACCGCAGUUAGAUGGCACUCGCUCAUGUGCUCAUCGGAUGUCAUAUGUCGUGUCUCGGUGAUCAGAUGAAUCCAUGUCCAUAACAUUUUAUUUUUUGUACACAUGGUGAACAUUUUAUGUGGGAUGAUUAAGUUAUUACUUAUAAAUUUAAUAAAAAAAUAUAAAGAUAAAAUAUAUGAUGAUUUAAAAAAAAAUAUUAUUUUUUGGGUUUUUUUCUAGAAGGUAUUCCGUUUUUUACUUUUACACUUGGUAUAUCUUUUUUCCUUUUAAUAUCUUAAAUAUAUUUCGACGUCGCUUAGUCAUCUCCCUCUAAUAUCUUUAAUGUCCUUUAUUAUUGUUUAUCGCUUUCAUUGCCUUUACCUUGUUGUUUCUGUCCUAAUGUGAGUCUUCGUUGCCUUAGCAUGAUUUUGUAUCGUCUUCACCUCACUUUCUCUUUUUUUUUCUUUAUGCUUACACUCUUUUUUUUUUUUUCUCCAUCCAACGAUCGUUCACAUAGAGACAACGACGUCUUGCGAAGGGAAAUGAGACUUUCAUGAUAAGUGGAGGCGAUUGAACGAAAGCAAUGAGUAACAAACAAUGAUAAGGAUAUUUAUAAUAUUUAAAAAAUAUCAAAUAAAACAAAUAAAAACUAGGGAACCAACGUGAUAUUUUUCAAAAAAAUUCACCCAUAUAUAUGUAUAUAAUUAUUCUUUAUUUUAUAAAAAAUAUAUAUAUUAUAUAAUAAUCCAUAGAAUUUUGUAUAUAAUAUUUUUAAUUUUUAAUCAUGGUUAUUAGAAAAAAAAAUACAUUCACUAAUUAAAUUAAUAUUAUGUAUAUUUAUCAAAGUGUAGUAACUAGUAUUUACAAAUAUAAAAAGUCUUUAUAGUGAGCUUUAAUAUUUUAGCCUUAAGUUACUAUCAAUAUUGAUCCUUGCGAAGCCCAUUUCAAGAGUCUUUUUCAGUAUCAAUCUUUCUACAACAGAGAGAUCCUCAUCGGUUUGGCGACACACCGGAAUGCGUUUAGGACUUGAGCUUGAUGUUGAUCUCUGUUGGCGCAAGACGGGUUGGCCAUUUGUUGGUGACCACAACAAGAGAAGAUAACAAUACUCUUUUAAAACGAACAAAAAAUAUUUAUCAUGAGAUAAAAACGUAAUAAGAAAACAUAUUAUUAUUGUUGUAAUAUAGAACUCACCUACUGAAUAAGAUCAAUGUAGAAGAUCCCAAAUGAUUGGGACAUUUACCUAAGCAUAUAUAUAUAUAUAUUAUUAAUUUACGAUGAUUAUGUUAUCAAAGAAUUUUAUCAUAUCCUAGAGUUAUUUUUUUUUCUCUCUCUCACGAAUUAUAAUGCAUUGGAUAUAAGGUUUUCUAAAUUCAUGGAUUUAAAUAAAAUUAUGACUUUGUAAUAAUAAAAAUAUAAAGAUUUCAUUAUUUUUUGUAUUCCUUCUUUGCUUUGCUUUUAUCCUUUUUCUUUUUCAUAUUCGUAUUUCUUCAAUCUAUGCAUUUUUUAAUUGUUUAUUUUUUUUUACAUGUCGGAUUAUACCGGAAAUUGAUUAUUUCUAAAUAUUGGUGUGAGAUUACACCCGUCCGGCCUAUAACAAAAGCGACCACACCGGCGUGAACGGAGAGUUUAGGGCGAGGCGAGGGUUUUUGGCAGGCCGCGAUGCAGACUGCAAGGAGACGAUUCUUGCGGACCCUCCUCUUCGGCCGCUUCCCUCCUCCACCAUCGCCUGCCUCUUCCUCGAUAGCAACCCUCGUUCGCGGAUCGUUGGACAGAUCGCUGCCUUGCGCCACCCUCGCGGCACCGUGGUCCGCAUUCCAAAGCCGAGGCGCUAAAGUGCUGGGCACCGAUGUAAUCGUCUUUUUACCCUAUAUCUGAUCUUUCUGGAUUCUUUCUUAGAUAUAUGUGACUGAUGAUUUUGGCGCUCUGGAUCGUUGUGAUCGUUAGUCUUUGGAUGAUAAAUUUCGUGUGGAAGUACAAUUUCAGUUUGAUAUUGUUGUAAACUUGGCACAAAAUUUGUGUCGACUUCGAGACGGUCGUGGUGACGCAGGGGAAGGGAGACAAUGGUGAAGAAGAGGCAGCGGCACAUGAGGAUGAGGAGGAAGAGAAGGAGAGUACUGAUCAGUAGGGCUUGGAGGCGAUGAAUGUGGGCAACGUCGGACAGAAGUGACGGGAGACACAGACAACGACAGACAGAUUUUGGCGACGGCGGAUGCAAUAGCAUGAGAAAAAGCACACAGGAUGGUUUAGGUGUCAGGGUUUUUAAGAUUCUUAAUUUUAGAAUUAAAAAAUAAAAAAGAAACCAGAUUGGGUUUAUCAGGUUGCAAUCCCUGUAUUACAUAUGGACCAUCCGAAAUUGGAUGGUCUGCGUGCCGAGUCACACCUGUUCCGGUAAAUAUCGGACCAUAGUACCAAACGUGGUGAAAUUGGAUUCCUUGGUUUGCAGAAGAUAAAUAUCAGAAUGACAUUUGCAGGAUACCCCACCAUGCUAGUACAUGGUAUCCAUCUCAUUUUUUGUAUCUUGCUGCACCUAAGUGGUGUUAGCUAUAGCAUCUUCUUCGUCACCAUCUCUGUUUCCAAGCUUGGCACCAUGUACAUUGUUUUCAUGGCUUUGAUGAAUACAUAAGGUUCUAUUUCCUAUAAAUAUCCAAUUUUCAACUCUGGGAGCUGCUUGAAUCGUGUUGUUUAGCAGCCCCCAAGCCAGAUCGAUUGCAUGAAAUUAACCCUCUAAUCGGUGUUGAAAUUGCAUACUUCCAAAUAAGUUUGUAGCUCUGCUGUUUCUGUGUAGGUCCGAAAAUCAAGACAGAUGGAUUGUCUAAAACUGUGUUGAUGUUCUGCUUGCUAAUGGAAAUGCAUAAAUUAGAUGAGUUCAUAGUUGAUCUAUAUUUUUGAAGUCUGAGAGUCUGUGUGGCUUUUGAUUUCAAAGUGCUUAACUCUUUAUUCUGCAAAAUCAUCUUUAUUGUAGUAGUGAAAGAUAAAGCUAUUAGCAAUUGAUUUUGUAAUAUAAUAACAAUCUUUUGGAUGAAAAAGUGCUUUUGUUUAAGUCUUCUGUAAAGAUUCUAAAGAAGCAAAAUGGCUUGUCCUACCAUUAGUUACCACUCUGAAAUGUGUUAUUGAUAUUGUGUGUAGGUGAGGAUUGGGAAUGUUAUACAAAGAAAAGGUUGCAUUUUCAUUCACAUCUUCUGUCACUUCAGAUUUUCGUAUUAAUGAACUUGCUAAUAAGCAUUGACUCAUUUGUUUCACUUCAUCACAAAGGCCGUAUGUAUCAGGUAUGUUACUGAUAAAUUGUUGUGCUCAUCCAGUUGAGGAUUUAUACUUUUUUUUCUCUCUUUUGCAUUUGAUCGAGGUCUUUACUUUUGCUUUUUUUCAUCAUAGGUACUAAAAGCACAACAUACACAACACGGAAGGGGAGGAGCCACAAUACAGGUACAAAGAAACUGUCCAUUCAGUCCUUGACAAUAUCGAUUCACGUUUGCAUUGAUUUUAUGAAACUAUGGUCAGUCACUAUUGUAUGGAAUUGUGUAGUAUCCAAUUAUUGACAUUGCUAACCGACCCAAAGCAAUUUGAUUAUAAUUCAAUUUGUGAAUUAUCCUUGACACCACAUUGAAGUUACUCCUCUAUGUCUUGGGUGCUAAGGUGAUAUAUGGAACAACUUGGAACAAUUUCGCCACAUGUUUUACUGGGGGUUUGCGUGGAGGGGUUGGGGUGUUGCAUACAUAUGAUGGUUAUUACAAUUUGCUUGCGUUGCAGCCAGCAGGAACUUUGUUCAUUGGACUGCAUUUUCUUUUUUACAUUGAACAUUUUGUAUUAAUCUUGUUAUUUCAGCUGUUUCCUUAAUAGAUUAACCUAUGAAUGAGUUCUAUUGCCUUGCUGCUGAAAUAAUUUCUCUGAUGGAUUGCACUUUAUCUGAUGUCUACACUCUCCUGUUACUUGGUAUCCUGAGAUACUUCAUUGGCCAAAACAUUGUUUUUCUGUAAGCUCAUAACCUUAUCAAGAAUAAUGUCAUUUAUCAUAUAUGUUUAAAGUUAAUGCUGCAUAUAUUUUAGAUUCUCAUAUGAGAUCAUUUUUGUCUACAUCAAUAUCAGAUUUUACCUGUUUUGAGUUUACUGAUGUUUUUAUGAUGACUAGUAUGAUUUCCUAUAUAUCACAUAUGUGGAUAGUUUCUGACAUAUGAAUUCAACAGUAUGAGGAUUAAUAUGACUGGGUGUCUUAUAGAUAUAUCAUAUAUUCUACAAACCUAUAUGUUGAUGCUUUUAAAUAAAUUUGGUGGAGAUCUUAUUGGAUUUCUUGUACAGACAAAAAAAGGAAAUUCUGAAGAGGUGGAAAUGGUCAGUAGGUUUAUAUAGGAUUCCACCGAUUCAGUUUCUUCCUAGAGUUCUGAUAUGGAAAUGCGAUUAUCACAGUUAUUUUGUUUAAAUCAGCAGUUUACUUUUUUGGGUAGUGCUUAAUAAUCAGAAGAAGUAUCUUUUGGUAAAUUUUAAAUCUGUACCAUGACACAGGAUCAGCCUUUUAUUGUAUAGGUUGUUUCCUGCUUCUCGGUACUAGUUUCAGGGUCCAAUCCUAAAUACUCGAAGCAUUUGACUUAAUUUGCGGAAAUGAUUGUAUCAUUUAUAUAUCAAAAGAAGAAAUAUUUGGAAAGAAAAGCUUCUGGUACUUAUAAUUAAAGAAGAAAUAUUUGGACAGAAAAGCUUCUGUUACUUAUGAUUUCAUAAACUUUAGCAUGAUCACCUUUGUCUUAAUAUAUAAACUCAAUGUAGUUUGUGAUGAAAAUGUGAGUUAUUUUCUUGAGUUGAUACAAGUCAUGGCACUCUUUUCUGUCGGACAGGUGGAACUUCGAGAUGUUGAUACUGGGAACAAAAUAACUGAAAGAUUUCGCACUGAUGAAGCUCUUGAGAGUAUGUAAUUAGUUUUUUAUACUUGCCAAUUAGAUUUUUUUUUUUGGUGGAGCUAUUUUUCGAUUGUAUGGUAAGUGGUAACAUCAAAAGAUCUAAAGUUGCACCUUGCAUGUUGGGAAUGCUGUGUUCUAAUAGUACAAAUGUCCCUUGCUUGCACUGGCAACCCUUGUGAGUAGAAUUCACAUGGGUGCUGAUGGGGAUCAACUCUGGCCAUCUAGUUGAUGCUUGAUUAAGGUAAUGACAUGGUUUGAAUUCUGCUAAUUAAGUGCCAUAUCAGACUCAUGCCAGUGAAGCUAAAUAAGAACUAGAGGAAUUGAAUGCUAAGGUUGACAGCUCUUCAUUUUUCUCUGUCCAAGCAUCGAGGAUGAUAUCAGGCAAGCUCCAUAUUGUGGCACUUGAUUGCAAAAUCAACCCUACUGGGAAUGGGUUUGGUGGGUUCUCCCCAAUUCUUAAGUCAAAAAUUAAGUAGUUAAAAUUUGAAGAUAGCACGUAGUCUUUUGGCUGAUUCCAUUUAAAAGAGAGCCUAUUACUUGAAAAGUCCCCUCUCACAGAGGAGGUUAGCCCUAUAAGGGAUUGGUUGCCAGUAUAGGCUGGAUAUCAGAUAUAUGACAGUACAACCUAGGUGACAACAGAUUUUUAUUGUUGCCUUAGGUCACAUGCCUAACAAGUAUUCACAUAUGUCAUAUAUUGACUUAUGCCUCAUGGAUCUUUCUGCAAGCGAACUUCAUGUUAAUUCAAUUCUCAAGUUGAUGAUUGUGUUGGAUGUGGAUCCCCCUAUUCUAGUAUUCCUUAUGACGAAGGACAAAAUGGGGUAUGAUUGGAAAUCACAAUCUGCUUAAAUUUCUCCCAGUCGAGAAGGACCAUGCUUGCAUGACCAAAGUUGAACUGUUAUUUGCAUACCACCAUAUUGUUAGGGAUGUUAAUGGGGGGGACCUUCAUUGUCUCUUCUUAAAAGGCCCUUACGAGUUCACAUCUCUAUUCUUUUUGCUCUCCUUGUUCCGAUACUUUCUUCACCUAGGUUUUUUCUUCUCUUUGGUGCUUUUAUUCUGAUUCUCUUGGUCUCUGGGUACCAACUUCUUUUUAUGCAGGAACUGAUGUUUCUUAAUCUGUCUAUUACUAAGUAGUAAGUACAUUAUAGAGUCAUGCCUGCCCUUUUUGUGUAAUGCAGGAGUUUUUGUUGAGGACAAGUCAUUCACAUACCUGUAUCAGGAAGGCGAGUUUGUAAUGCUAAUGGAGUGAGUCAUUUUAAUUCAUUUCAUGAGUUGUUAUGUACUAUGUAUUUUGAAAAUUGGAAGCUAAACUUUUGAUGCUUGAUUUAUUAGGCCCAACACGUUUGAGCAGAUUGAAGUGCAGAAGGAGAUGUUUGGCAAGGCUUCUGCCUAUUUAAAAGGUAUCACUUUCAAGAAAACUUAUUUUGUCAUUAGUGUAUAUGCAUCAUCAAAAAAAGGUUGACUUUAUAUCAAUCAACUUAGCCAUGGUAGGCAAGGGUGGUUGUCCUCUCUUUCUCAUUAUUCCUCAACUGUAAUUUUUUUCAGAAAAAAAGGUUGACCAAAAUCAAUUAGUGUAGCCCUGGUAGGCUUGUGUUUUUCUUGUCUGGUAUUUCUCAGUCAUUUUGCUGAUUGAAGGAGAAUGUAUUUCUAUGAUGUGUCUACACACCUGGUUCCAAUUUUGUCCAUGCCGCAAAUAACUAAAGGUCUGUUUGAUGACUUAUAUCCCAGUUCAUUUUAAUGGUAUCCAUCCUUGAAAAGUUGCACUUGCAAACAAAGUAACAACAUUACUGUUUUGGGCAAGAAAAAAUGUCCCACCCGAUCUUAACAGAAUCUAAUAAAUAAUAACAAAGCUCCCAUAUAUUAAUUGCUGAAAUUGGUUUAGAAAGAUAAUAUUUAUGAUGCUGAAGAAAUGUUUGAUUAGUAGACUUUAUAAUAUAUCACUGGAAAGAAGGUCCAUAUUGAUCCCUAUGCAUCUAUCACAAAAACGAAAUAGAAUAUAGAGUAACAUAUAGAGGAUUUUGGUGACUAUGAGGAUGUCGAAGUCUUUUUUUGUAAACGGGCAUUUUGGUUCUCGAAAUAGAAUAUAUUGCUGCUGAGUAUGAGGGUAGUUCAAACUGUUAAUUUUGCCUAAGCCGUACAUGAUUCUUGCGUGUUUGUACAUAGAGGGUUUGUCUUCCUGUAACCUUGCAAGGACCCUAUGGACUUGGAUAAGAGAAAAUGAGUUUGAAAACAAGCAAACAUGCGGUCAAAUUGCCGUCGUCGCUCUGUUGAAGCGCAAACUCGUGAUCCCCACAAGUAGAUAUUAAAACAAACACUUGAUUUGCAAAUUACAAAGAUAGAGUUCACAAGCUCUGAAUGAUUGAAUGACAAAGGUACGAGGCAGCCUGCCGUUCACAAAAGUUCCUGCACACAAGUGCCCCUGCUAUAUUGCUAUAAAACUAUUUGACGGACUAACUGAAGAGACUAACCAAAGCCCCAUCUAGUCAUGUGUCAGUCAAGGUUCUAGGGGUCUAAGAUGACUGACGUUUUAGGCCUGCUCUUCGCUCCAAGAAAUCUUUGCAGGUUGCAAGUUAGGGGCUCUAUUUUUGAGCAGUUUUGCCUUGGCCCAACAACCGCACAAAAGCCGUACUUAUAAGCUAGGAAGGGCUACAAAACCCAUCCAAAAUGAGGCUGCGAAGUCCAUUGUAAGCCUCUACAUGCUGUCUAAGGCAUAACAAAAUAAAAAAUCAUGGGUAUUAAAUCAAACACUUGUGCUAUGAAUGGUCCAUGACAAAGUGAUAGGAGCUUUCGGUGUUUACACUGGUAAGAUUUUGGUAUCACUUGCUUAUUAAUUACUCACUGAAGAGGCUUUUUUAUGUUUAGUCAUAAAUAUAGAUACUUCAACCUGUCAGACUAGUUGACAUGGAAUUUAGUGGCUUUUUUUUAUUUCUCGAGUUUUUGUUGGCAGUUUCUCCAAUAAUAUGCUUAAACAAAAAUCUAUUUGCGCAUAAGCAUCGGUUGUUGUUCCACAUUUAUUUUCUCAUAGUUGAACUUGGUACCAAAUGAGCAGAAGACAUGACAGUGAGACUGCAGUAUUAUGAUGGAAAACUGAUGUCUGCAUCAGUUCCUCAUCGUGUAACAUGCAAGGUUGUUGAAGCACAACCUAAUAUCAAAGGGCUAACAGCUGCUCCUCAGUAAGUUGUUUUUACAUGUCAUGGUACCAAAGGACUUGACCAUAACUGGCCAAAGUUUCUUUAGGAAAGUUUCUAUUUUAUUAGUUAUUUGAUUUUCGUAUAUAAACUGAUAUAUUAUUGCUGUCUGAACUUAUGCUGUUUUUCAUAUUAAAGAAAGACAUAUAUACCUCACAAACAAUGUCAUUAAGAAGAUAUUGAUCAGUAUGUACCAGUUUGACCAUUAAACAUUGGUUCAAAUAUCCUCAUAUCAUUCUCCUUGUCUUUCUUAGUUAUUUCUUGGGGAUAUUCCUGCAUAAGAUUUAUAAACAAUUUUUUUGCAUUGCUAAUUUUCCUACUAAAACGGUGUCAUUGAUGGAUAGUCAUUGAGUCUUUUCAUUUCCUUGUUUUUUCACUCUACUUGUUGUGACAAAAUAGAUAUUCACUAAAGGCCUGUCUGAAGGUUACGAAGUUGCCUAAAAUCUAUCUCAAUCUAUUUCUAUGGAAUCUAGUUUUCUCAUCAAACCUGACAAGACGUAUGCCUUCCAUAGUUUGCUGUAAUAGCAGAAGCAUGACCAGCCUCAUCUUGCAUCUCAAUUUCCAUUGGACGACCAUCAUUUGAAUCUGGUGAAAUCCAUUGGCAUAGGGAAUUAUUUUUUCCAACUUGUAAUGUAUGUUUGUUUUUAAUCUCUUUAGUUUCUCUUUCAUUUUGCAGCCAGAAAACAACCUGCAAAAAAAUAAAAAAAAAACAUAGUAAACCUGCUACUAAAAAUAUUUCUCUAGUUUACCACGUUGGUGUGGACCUAUCAACUGGUUGUGGCCAGAAUAUUCUUCAACAGUUUGAGACAAUGUUGCUUUAAAUUCUCUAACUUCCUGGUUCAAUCUUUUGAUCAUAGAUCUUUAGGUCCAUAUUUAUCUGACAUAUUUCUUAGUAAUAUUCUUGCUUUAUAGUAAGAUUUUGCCUUAGAGUCAACUUUUAGUUUAAUUAUAGCAUUUCUUUGUUCCAAUUUUGCGAAUCAUCUCAACAGCCUAAAUUUCUGAAACCUCCUCCCUUCUUGUUGAUCAUCGAGUGCUAGAGAAUACACAAACACAAUAUCAUAUAUAUGUGUGUGUGUACACACACACACNNNNNNNNNNNNNNNNNNNNNNNNNNNNNNNNNNNNNNNNNNNNNNNNNNNNNNNNNNNNNNNNNNNNNNNNNNNNNNNNNNNNNNNNNNNNNNNNNNNNNNNNNNNNNNNNNNNNNNNNNNNNNNNNNNNNNNNNNNNNNNNNNNNNNNNNNNNNNNNNNNNNNNNNNNNNNNNNNNNNNNNNNNNNNNNNNNNNNNNNNNNNNNNNNNNNNNNNNNNNNNNNNNNNNNNNNNNNNNNNNNNNNNNNNNNNNNNNNNNNNNNNNNNNNNNNNNNNNNNNNNNNNNNNNNNNNNNNNNNNNNNNNNNNNNNNNNNNNNNNNNNNNNNNNNNNNNNNNNNNNNNNNNNNNNNNNNNNNNNNNNNNNNNNNNNNNNNNNNNNNNNNNNNNNNNNNNNNNNNNNNNNNNNNNNNNNNNNNNNNNNNNNNNNNNNNNNNNNNNNNNNNNNNNNNNNNNNNNNNNNNNNNNNNNNNNNNNNNNNNNNNNNNNNNNNNNNNNNNNNNNNNNNNNNNNNNNNNNNNNNNNNNNNNNNNNNNNNNNNNNNNNNNNNNNNNNNNNNNNNNNNNNNNNNNNNNNNNNNNNNNNNNNNNNNNNNNNNNNNNNNNNNNNNNNNNNNNNNNNNNNNNNNNNNNNNNNNNNNNNNNNNNNNNNNNNNNNNNNNNNNNNNNNNNNNNNNNNNNNNNNNNNNNNNNNNNNNNNNNNNNNNNNNNNNNNNNNNNNNNNNNNNNNNNNNNNNNNNNNNNNNNNNNNNNNNNNNNNNNNNNNNNNNNNNNNNNNNNNNNNNNNNNNNNNNNNNNNNNNNNNNNNNNNNNNNNNNNNNNNNNNNNNNNNNNNNNNNNNNNNNNNNNNNNNNNNNNNNNNNNNNNNNNNNNNNNNNNNNNNNNNNNNNNNNNNNNNNNNNNNNNNNNNNNNNNNNNNNNNNNNNNNNNNNNNNNNNNNNNNNNNNNNNNNNNNNNNNNNNNNNNNNNNNNNNNNNNNNNNNNNNNNNNNNNNNNNNNNNNNNNNNNNNNNNNNNNNNNNNNNNNNNNNNNNNNNNNNNNNNNNNNNNNNNNNNNNNNNNNNNNNNNNNNNNNNNNNNNNNNNNNNNNNNNNNNNNNNNNNNNNNNNNNNNNNNNNNNNNNNNNNNNNNNNNNNNNNNNNNNNNNNNNNNNNNNNNNNNNNNNNNNNNNNNNNNNNNNNNNNNNNNNNNNNNNNNNNNNNNNNNNNNNNNNNNNNNNNNNNNNNNNNNNNNNNNNNNNNNNNNNNNNNNNNNNNNNNNNNNNNNNNNNNNNNNNNNNNNNNNNNNNNNNNNNNNNNNNNNNNNNNNNNNNNNNNNNNNNNNNNNNNNNNNNNNNNNNNNNNNNNNNNNNNNNNNNNNNNNNNNNNNNNNNNNNNNNNNNNNNNNNNNNNNNNNNNNNNNNNNNNNNNNNNNNNNNNNNNNNNNNNNNNNNNNNNNNNNNNNNNNNNNNNNNNNNNNNNNNNNNNNNNNNNNNNNNNNNNNNNNNNNNNNNNNNNNNNNNNNNNNNNNNNNNNNNNNNNNNNNNNNNNNNNNNNNNNNNNNNNNNNNNNNNNNNNNNNNNNNNNNNNNNNNNNNNNNNNNNNNNNNNNNNNNNNNNNNNNNNNNNNNNNNNNNNNNNNNNNNNNNNNNNNNNNNNNNNNNNNNNNNNNNNNNNNNNNNNNNNNNNNNNNNNNNNNNNNNNNNNNNNNNNNNNNNNNNNNNNNNNNNNNNNNNNNNNNNNNNNNNNNNNNNNNNNNNNNNNNNNNNNNNNNNNNNNNNNNNNNNNNNNNNNNNNNNNNNNNNNNNNNNNNNNNNNNNNNNNNNNNNNNNNNNNNNNNNNNNNNNNNNNNNNNNNNNNNNNNNNNNNNNNNNNNNNNNNNNNNNNNNNNNNNNNNNNNNNNNNNNNNNNNNNNNNNNNNNNNNNNNNNNNNNNNNNNNNNNNNNNNNNNNNNNNNNNNNNNNNNNNNNNNNNNNNNNNNNNNNNNNNNNNNNNNNNNNNNNNNNNNNNNNNNNNNNNNNNNNNNNNNNNNNNNNNNNNNNNNNNNNNNNNNNNNNNNNNNNNNNNNNNNNNNNNNNNNNNNNNNNNNNNNNNNNNNNNNNNNNNNNNNNNNNNNNNNNNNNNNNNNNNNNNNNNNNNNNNNNNNNNNNNNNNNNNNNNNNNNNNNNNNNNNNNNNNNNNNNNNNNNNNNNNNNNNNNNNNNNNNNNNNNNNNNNNNNNNNNNNNNNNNNNNNNNNNNNNNNNNNNNNNNNNNNNNNNNNNNNNNNNNNNNNNNNNNNNNNNNNNNNNNNNNNNNNNNNNNNNNNNNNNNNNNNNNNNNNNNNNNNNNNNNNNNNNNNNNNNNNNNNNNNNNNNNNNNNNNNNNNNNNNNNNNNNNNNNNNNNNNNNNNNNNNNNNNNNNNNNNNNNNNNNNNNNNNNNNNNNNNNNNNNNNNNNNNNNNNNNNNNNNNNNNNNNNNNNNNNNNNNNNNNNNNNNNNNNNNNNNNNNNNNNNNNNNNNNNNNNNNNNNNNNNNNNNNNNNNNNNNNNNNNNNNNNNNNNNNNNNNNNNNNNNNNNNNNNNNNNNNNNNNNNNNNNNNNNNNNNNNNNNNNNNNNNNNNNNNNNNNNNNNNNNNNNNNNNNNNNNNNNNNNNNNNNNNNNNNNNNNNNNNNNNNNNNNNNNNNNNNNNNNNNNNNNNNNNNNNNNNNNNNNNNNNNNNNNNNNNNNNNNNNNNNNNNNNNNNNNNNNNNNNNNNNNNNNNNNNNNNNNNNNNNNNNNNNNNNNNNNNNNNNNNNNNNNNNNNNNNNNNNNNNNNNNNNNNNNNNNNNNNNNNNNNNNNNNNNNNNNNNNNNNNNNNNNNNNNNNNNNNNNNNNNNNNNNNNNNNNNNCAAAAUCCGAGAUUCAACAAACAAGGGGUCUUGAGUGGUAGGUCAGUGCUCGAUGGUCAUCAAGCACUUGGAAGCGAAUGGGAAGGGGAUCCACUAAAAAUCUCUCACCACUCUUUUAGGGGCUACCUCGGAUGCCCAUCCCCUCUUGUCCACCUGGGGGAUUCAAGGGGGCAGAGACGACUGAUAUUUUUUCAUCUGCACCGCUCUGAGAUCCCUUGCAUGACACAUCGGUUUGGGGUUGUUUCCAACUAGUUUGGCCUAUGCCAUGAUCAUCUGACAGAUUAACUUAUGGAUAGACUUUGUACAGGUGUAAGAGUCAAAUACAAGCCGCGAGGCUGUAGGAUAUUGCAGACUUCACUACCUUGCAAAUUAGUACAAAAAAACAUUCUGACGACAAAACAACAAAAUGUUCAAGUAAUGAAGUUUUUGUUGUUGUUGUGGGAUUAUUUCGGUUGUUUUGGCAGUAUUUUAGUGUUCAGCAUUGUAUUGGUCCGGUUGCUGGCUAGUAACAGUGUGGACUGAGAUUUGUAAAUUUGGUUAUAUUGAGUCCUAAAUUUUGUCAUUGACAUGUUUGUUUAGCUAUAUUGCUUGAUCAGCACAAGUCAUUUAUAAGAUUGGUUGGUCAUGAUCAUUUACAUUUUUAAAAAAAUUUUCUAGUCUUUUUUUUCAAAAGUUGGUACAUACCGGCAAUACCAACACAUGAUACGUUGGUUCGGUUUGGACCCUUACCAGUUCCGGCAACGACCAGCCUGGCUCUGGUAUCGAAAAUUGAAAACUUUGGCAAAGGCUAUCAUUCAUGUUACAGCAUAAUCUAUUUAUUUAGACUUCUUUGCUGUUAGUGGGUUAUUUCACUUCUUUAUGUAUGAAAAAUACUUGCUGCAUAAAUUUAGCAAUAUGUUCAAUGGUCUGAUCUUUUUGGUGAUUUUUUGCUUUCUAUAGGAUUGGACAUUAACUUUAUCAUAUUAUGUUUCAUUCUACAAUCGGUGUAAAUUCACCUUUUUCUUUUUUGCACCACAAUUUAUAGAGUUAUGUUAUUUGUCUGAUUGUGAUGCUAUACUCUUUUGUUGCAAUUCAUAGGCACCACCUUUUGUUGAAACUGGUGAGGAGAUCAUUAUUAAUACAACCGACGACUCAUAUAUUACAAGGUUUGUCAAGACUUGUUCUCCUUUUUUCUUUGUGCUUGUUGAUAGUAUCACAAUAUACUGAUUUAUCAUAACUGAAAUUUUCAUUUAUGAUGUCAUUUUCCAAAUGAUGCAUCCUUGUACCACCCAGAUUGGAUUAGCCUAGGCUCCAGUAACCUAUUCGGUUGUGAAAUUUCCAUAGUUAGAUGAUUUUGGAGGUCUAGGUUGAGCUACUUUAACUACUAAGUGGUUUUGAGUUUUGACAAUACUGUGUUACUCAUGGCAAUGAUUUGCUCUUCAUCUUUGAUCAUAACUAGAACUUGGUGGACUCAUUUAAUAUAAAAUUGACUUUAGCACACUUAAUCCUGCAUCAACAGAAUCACGUCACAUUAAUUUUAAUAAUCUCAUGGAAAUGCUGGUCAAAUAAAGAUACUAUUUGAUUCUUAGGUGAGUACCUUUUUAAGGCUCUAGAUGCAACUCAUAGUUAUAUUUGGAAACUCAACAUCUAGAAGGUCUUACAUAUUACCACUCUUUCUUGUCUGUUCAAGUUUUUUCUUAAAUUUCUGAUUGCUCCUCAUUGGGAUAUGUUUUCAGGUCUCCAUAGCAAAAAAAUUAGUGCUAAACAGGUAAUGUUAGGUCUAAAAUCACUAUGCUUAGUUAACCAUCAUGAUUGUAGAUAAAUUUUAUUGCCUGUGCCGAACUAAUAGAAUACAUAUACAUAUCCUCUAACAUCAAAUCAAUAUAUUGAGACAGUCAAAUACAAGGUUUGCCUCUUUUCAUCGAAUAAUUUGCCAAAUAAUUUGAAAUUUACUUCAUUAUCAGAGGUCAUGUUAGCUACACUACUUUUAGCUAUAUCACUAAUCAUCUUUUUUAUCGUUAUUUUGGUUUCCAUUGAUUUAAGAAAUUUAGUGACCAUGGGAUAAUAGAUCAGAAUUUUAAAAACACACUAGAAGUUAUGUUGCUCUUCUAAUUUGUUGUGUCUAUACUUUUGCACAGUGUUUUAAACAUGCACUUAGGUGAGGCGAGGUUCAAGCAUCUUGCGCAGUUGUCGGGCGACGUGCUUCAAUGAAGCGCUUCCUUGGCGCUCGCCUUAGUCGAAGCGCUAGGCGCCUCGGGCAAGUGCCCGAUUAAAGGUGAGCAAUCGAACCAAAUGGUCAACUUUGGUUCAGUUGAAUAGUAACUUGGUUGGUUCAAUCGAACCAUCUAAGCAUAGUAAAUAGUAAUAGUAAACCACACCCGUUCUCCCCCUCUCCCUUGUGCAACCUUGACCCCAUAAACACUAGGUACUUCUUUGCCCUAGUCCUACCGUUGCCUUUGUGUGCAACUGUUGUCGACACACAGGUCCGACGCUUCCUCUGCCGUCGACGAAUGGGUCCGAAGCUCUCGCUAUUGUAGCUUUCGUGUGCAAUUCCCUCUGCCAUCGUUGCUUCUGUGUGUAGCUCUUUCCAACGCCGAGGGAUAGGACCACAACUUUCUCCAUCACCAGUAGACACAUCUGAAGCUUUCUUCGCCCCUGAUGUCAUCGUUUGUAGCUUCCUCCGUUGCCACUGCCAUUGUUCGUAGCUUUCUCUAUCUCCACUGUGGUCGUCCGUAGCUUCUUCUACCGCCAUUACCAUCGUCCGAAAGUUCCUGUUAUCAAACUACUGUUAUCAUAUAAUAAACUAAAACUGAUAUAAAUCCUUAGAACUGUUGACCUAUUUAGAACUGAUUCUUAUUUAGAAUUACUAAUCCUUAUUUAGCACUAUUAAUUGCUAUUUAAAAUUAUUAUUAGUCCCUAUUUAGCAUUGUUAAUCUUUGUUUAUUUAGAACUGUUAUUAGGGUUUCAUGAUUAAUGACAAGUGUACAAAGCGAUACAAAAGAUUCAUAAAAAAAUUUAAUUUAAUGUCAUAUUUUUAUUUAUAUAAUCAUAUUUAUCAAUUGUAUUUUAUAUUUUUAUAUUUUUAUAUUCUAGAGUAUCUUGUUUCGCUCAAGCGGACUUUGGGCGUUUUGGGACCUUGGCGUCUUUUGGUGCCUAGCUUUUAAAAACACUAGUUUUGCACUAUCAAAAAGAAAAUCUGGAGUUAGUUGAAUCUUCAAUAAUAUUGUAGAUUAUGCAUUGAUUUCCUCCAAAAUUCUUUUGAGGUGAAUCUGAAUUCUGCAACAUCGGAUUCAGAUGGUACUGGACUGACUUGUGUCAAGAGAAUUUAAUGGACAGGUGAUCAUGGUCUCAGUGAGGUUGCUUGGGCUGUUAAAUUGUUCUGAUUCAUAAAUGGCGUUGUUGAGUCUUUUCUUAAAUGAGCAGUCUGAGGAACCUUAGGUAGAGAAGUCUUUGAUGAACAAUAGCCAGAGAUAUCUUAGUUUUUCAUAUAUUAGGUUCAAUCACCCAAGGAUGGAGUGGCAAUAAAUUAGCUUAUCUUCUAGCAAGAGAAGCAAAAAGAAUUCAUAGUAGGGCCUGGUUAUGGCAGCUGACCAAUUAUUGUUGGGGAAGCUCUCAUUUAUGAUGUUGAGUCCUCUGUUUCAUAAUGGGAACUUCCUCAUCACUUCCUCCUAAAAGAGGCAACUUUAAUCACUUGUUUAAUUUAUCUUGACCAAUCAUAUGUAUAUAUUAGGUGAAUGUUGUUUCUGAAUAGUAUUCCAGGAGUAAAGCAGUAUAUAAGCAACUCUAAAUAACUGUAACUGGUUUAGCACCAUAAGGUGAUAUAUACGACUGGGAGGAGGUUAUGGUUCCAUGGGAUCAGUGUUGUGUGUUAUUUCUUUUCUAGAGGACCCUUGCAAUGAAGUACAUCUGAGUAGGAUAAAUUUAGUGCUGUAAGCUGGUUUUCCAUGUGCUGUGGACAUAUAAAGAAAAUAUUGACAAGCUGUCUAACGAUGGAAAAUAUACAAUAUAUUCAAGAACUGAAACAUUUAAUUUCCUGGAAGAGAUCCAAGCGGCGUUAAUGUUUCAUUCUCUUAGUCACAAUACACAUUGUUUUAUAUAUUUUCCUAUUUGGCAGCAGUUUAAAAUCUUAGUUUUAAUCAUUAAAUAAAUUCCUUAUAAUGGCCAUUAUGAAUCUUUUCAGGGCAAAGGAGUAGCAUUUUUGAGGUAAAGCAUGCACCUUAGCCUAUUUAUUGACAGAGGGUGACUAGUUUCCCCAAGUGGCUCUAUCCAGUUAUAUUCGAUUAUGAGUUGUACAAUUGAGAUGCUUUGUAAAAAGAAAUUUACCCUUCUUGUUUAAACUUUUGAGGAAAUUUGAUGAAUAAAAUAUUGAAAUAUUUGCUUAAAGAUGUGUUGAAUAAUUUAACUCAGAAUUUCCAAAACUGGCUAAAAUAAAAUUUACAGGAUUGACGACUGGGGCUAUUGUAACAAACUAAAGUGUUUGGAAUUGCCUUUCCAUUAUAUGAAUAAUGUAAUAUAGAUGUGUACAAUAAAUUACAAUCAAUCUGUAAUUCCUGAAACCAAUGUGCGGGUCUUCUCUUUUAUCAUUGCAUUUGGAGUGUCGUCUUCCAUCUAUUGAAUGAAAACCUGUAUCUUCUAAAUAGUUCCUCCUGGUUUGAAGAUUCCUUGUUCCUAUAUGUAGCCUUAAAGACUGAUCUUAUCGAACAUACAAGUAAUGAGCAAUAAACGGUGUUUCUUUAUAUUUUUUCACAUAAGAUUCUUAAUUUGUGAUGUUUCAAAUUGCAAAUAAGAAUUACUUUAUAAUUGAUGAUGAGUGGAAUGAGGCUUCUGUGAUUGCUUUAUUUGAUUCAUAUCUCAUGCGGAACAUCUAUUUCCACACAGAUGUGAAUGAAUUGGCCGUAUUCAAAGUUAAGGGAUCGAGAAUCCCGUCGAUUAAGACGCACCAACCGGGCGUGGCUUACACAACACUAACAUGACAUGAGGAAGCCUCUCAGGUUUGAUUCUAUGCUGAGCAAACGAAACUAAUAUUGAACUCAAUCUUUUGCAGGAAGGAGACAAACAAUACGUAAUACAUGUAUAAAAUACAGGUAUUUUAUCAAGGAUUAAAUCUGAUCAUAUAAUUUUUUUCUUUAAAUUUCGGAUAUGAUAUAUCCGAAAUGGAAGGGCGUAAGCGUUGCAUCUCAAGAACCAAACAAUCCUCUUAGCUUUUGGUCACGUUUAUAAGCAGCUUGGACCUUCGUCGUCGUGUAUGCCCAACCAAAAGGAAGGGCAAGUUGUCUCUGUCCUCGGUAAUUCUAUUGAUCAUCAUCUUCAUCAUACUUGUUUCUAGGAAACGCGGAUGUCUACAUAUAUGUAUAAGAAUCAGAUCUGAGCCGAAUACCUGUCGGAUUAUCUUUCCCUUCGCGUGAAAGAAAGGAUGCAUAUAAUCUGGAAUAUCUUUGGUUAGGAUUUCUUUCGCAUAUUGCAGAACAAUACUGCAUACAUCUACCUACGGAAGACGAAGUGGAUGCACCAACGAGAGGUAUAACACCCCUAAUUAGUCCCAAAUCGGAAGUGAGCAAGAUUAAGAUUGACUUAUAAGGGUCUGAUGAGUAUAUUAUUAUCAUUUUCAGUUUAAGCAUUUUGGUUAGUGGUUUAAACCAAACGAAAUUAAAAGACCAGUUAGCCCAUCAGGCCCGAGUGGAGUCAGAAGACUCGCCACGACGUGAGUCCACUAUUGGACUACGACUGACGCACUAUGCUAGGGAUUGAUUUAGGUCAUGCUGGACUUGGGCAAGAUCUGAUGAGUAUACUACUAUCAACUUCAACUUAAGCAUUUUGGUUAGUAGUUUAGAUCAAACGAAGUUGAUAGGCCAGUUAGCCCAUCAAGCUCGGGUUGUGACAAGAGGAGAGCAUCAAAAGAGUGGAAUAAUAGAAUUCUCUCUCUCUCUCUCUAAAACAUGACAUAUAACAAAAACUAAAUAAAUAUAAAAAUUACGUAUAUGACAGACUACUUGUUACAACUACGAUGAAGAAGUCAACAUGGCUUGGUCUUAUCUCGAAGGCAAAAGCUCGUCCUAGAAACCCAUGUGGUGCUCUUAUAUGUUAGUUGUGGUGGGGGGAAUCGAUUGACACGAUUCCGAGAUACUACUUGUUUAUCCUAGGUGGAUUCUACGAUGAGUCGAGGUGGUUUGGCUUCUUUGGGAUUUUGUAGUCGAACCAAGGAGCACCUUGGCUUCACCGUAGUUUCUGCACAAAAGGUCAACAUCAGGGGAGUUCCUGACUCGACACCCCCAUGGUAAAGUUAGUAGUGGGAAUCAGGGUAGUUAUAAUUUUUUUCUCUCUCCCUUUUAGGUGGGGGUUGGCUUUUAUACUUGGACGGCCGAUGGUAGGAGGCUAAUGGCUCCUCCCUUAAUCUAUGGUCCUUUAGGAGCUCAUUUAUGUCGAUGAUUGAUUGAUAUAUUUCAUUAUGAUGUGUUAUUAGUGAAGGACAACCAAAGGGGCACUAUUUGUCCAAGAUGAUAUCUGCGAGAUAAACGAAUGGUGGCCGCCUUUGUCGAAGGGGUAAAUAAGCCUCACCGCUAGGGAUUAAUGCUUCCUACAAGCACACGGUUGGGAGAGAAGUUGGACCUCAUUGUCAGGGAUUAAUGCACCCUACGAUCUUGUAUCUAAAAAAGGGGGAGAUUGGCCUCGCUGCCAAGGAUUAAUGCUCCAUUUAGUUGAGCGUGCAACCUUUCCCAAAUUUACGACUAGUAAGGGUUGAUAGGUUGCUUCCCCGUUGUACAUUGCAGGGAAGGAGCAACAUGCAAACCCUUUUGCCCUCGUCACUACUUAGGUGGCGGUAUAUUAUCAAGUGAGUUAGCAUGUCAAAGCUGACAUCAUCUUAUUCCCUAUCACUAUCAAAAAUAAAUAUCACACUGUAUACAUAUUAGUAAAACUAAAUAUAAAUAAUAUACCUAUUAUAUCAAAUAUCAUCCUAGGUCUUUUAAGAAAAUAAAUAAAAUUGAGUGGGAUUAAUUUAUAGGUUCAUCUUAAAAAGGUGGAAACGAAUUUAAAGUUAGAUUAGGAAUUACAUUAGAAAUCAAUGGCUUUAAUAAUUUAUUUUGGACACAAGUAAAUAUUGUAAUCAUUAAUUAAUGAUUUAAUUGAACGAUAUUUUUAAUUAUAUAACUGUUUUGAAUUAUUUCAUAUUAUUUUUAUUUCCCUAAAACCAUUAAAAACCUAUUGGCAUACAUUGAGACAUGAUCUUGAUUUGUAUGGAUGAUAAAAAUUUAUUCAAAAUUAUUUUUUUAUUAGAGUUGGAAAUUCAUCUCCAUGCAUUUGAACUAUAAAUGGUAAUCUCAAUACGUGAAACAAAAUUUUACUUUAGUAUUUUCCUUAGUUAAAAGAAUACUGAGGUGUACACGACAAAAUCCACUUGAUUCUUAAUCUAGUAAAGAGUUUAAGAACAAAGAAUUAUAUAGGCAAUUUUAUUUUUAUUAUUUAUAAUAUUAUUUUAAGAACUUAUAAUAUUUCUAAGAUAUCUCGUUAUAAAUGGACAAAAAUAUCCUUAACUUAUUUCUUAAUUUUAUUAAAUUCUUUCAACUCUUUCCAAACAAAUAUCUUUUUCUUCCUCUUGUUUCUAUUAUCAUCAUUAUCAUCAUCUUAAUUGUUAGAUUAUCUUUCAUUAUUAAUGAAGCAAAAUGAUGAAAAAAAAAUAAUCAAAUGAGAUGAUCUAAAGAUCGAAGAGGAAUAAUUUUUUAUAUUUAUUAGAUUGAUAUAAUAUUUUUAUGGUUAAAAACUAAUAAGAUGAUAUUUCAAACGUCUGUAAUCUUUUGCGUCAGUUUACAUAACCCAUAAGAUACCAUAUUCCAGGUUUGAAAUAUAAUAAUUGAGGGUUGUAAAAAAUAAGGAUAUGAUCUAUAAUUAAAUAUUUAUAUUUAGAAAAUUAUAUUUUAUUAUCUAAAUUACUAAUAUUAGAAAGGGAUUACCAACAGCUAUGUCCUUAUAAUAAAUGUCAUUUAACAAGUUUAUUAUGAGUAUAUAUAGAAGAUCAUAAUAAUGGCAAAUGUGGAAUGACAUCGUUGCAUUUCUUAUAUCUUCAAUCAAUUUAUGAUUUGAGGAUUAAUCAUAGAUUUGAGUCCAUGAUUUGAUUGAGUAAUUUGAGUAUAUGAUGAGGAAAAUCACUCUCUCAAAAUCUAUAUAAAUAUAUAUUACCUCAAUAAAUGAAAUCGCUAGUCUUCACAAUAAGUUCCUCAAUUUAUCAUGGUAUCAAAGUUCCUAUUGCCUCGAGCAAGACUCACCCUUCGUUGCUGUCUAAUGACAAUAAUCCCUCUUCUCUACUGAUCUGCCAUAAUGAUUAUCUAGUUAUCGAUUUUAUCUUUUACUCGGUAGUCCUUGAGCAAACUAUUAUCGUAAACAUCAACUGGAGUUAUUUUAUAAAUUUGCCAUCUUUCUCACAAGUGAGCGACGAACACUAGCCAUCAAUAUUGAUUACUUUGCUUGGCAAUCUUCAUCCAAAAUCUAUAAUAUUCAACCAUCAUAUAUCUGCUCUUCUCGCCCGCCACCAACCUUUCCCUUCCAUUGGAGUUCGCCCCAAUAAUAAUAAUCUCCUUGCUAUCUAUUGCCACUGUUAUUAUUGCUAGUCAUAGGUACCCUGCAAGCCAAUCACGUGAGUGAUGACACGUGUGACUUGACACACAGUCAUUUUGCUUAUUAUUAUUUGAUAUUUUAUCACUUUAUAUUGUUUAUUGCUUGAAUAUAUUGUGACAUCAAUGGAUCUGUGCAAUAAGAAUCGGAUCGUGAUAAGAUCAUGAUAAUGAAACUGAUUCGCCUUUAAACACAGAUCCUAAAUAAUAUCAGUUAUAGGUUAUUCGAGAGGGACAUCGAGAUAACCAGACAGACUGAUGUAUUGUAUACCCAUCCAUAUGAUGGAUGCAGCUGGUCUCAUAGCUGCUCGUGUAGGGACACUAGGGAUACAAUACAGGUACUCAUUGGGAAAUAAGUUUACUAAUUUAUCCGCUUAUGGAAUGCUGGAUAGUUGAUGACGCCUUAUUGUCAAAUAGUGAUUCUGUAGUCUCAGUGGUGUAUCUGGUCCUUAGACUUGAGACACCAAAGAUGUCCUAUAUAAGUACUUCAUUCUUUGAUACCAGACUUAUAGGUUUGGAGGUUUCAGAUCUAGCAUAAUCGAUUAUCGGGAGUGGUAGCCAACCUUACGAGGACUAUUGAGUGUCGAUAGAGGAUCAUCCACACUCGGUGUAUGAGAGGAAUAUCUCAUAUGUUCUUGUUCAGAUAAAUCCUUGGCCAAUGUCAUUCAGAUUGAGAGAGAAAGAGUUAUCCGGGAGAACUCGAUUAGAGUGAGACUCGAGUAGAGAUCGUUUGGAUCUGAUAGCACCAUAUCCGGUAUACGGUCUCUAGGAUAUUAGAUAAAUGAGGGACUAUAAGUAUAUAGUAACUAAGGAUAGACAAGUCGAAUGGAUUGGAUUCUCCUAUAUCGUUUGAGGACUACGACAUAGUGGCAUAGUACGUCUGCAAUCAAUGAGUCGAGUGAAUUAUUAUGAAAAUAAUAAUUUACUGAGUUAGAAGGAGUUUUGAUAAAUAUGACUUACAACCAGCUCGAUAUUGGGCCUAGAGGGUCACACAUAUAUGAUAGGCAUUGCGAUGAGUAGAGGUUCAGAUAUGAGAUAUUUGUCGGAGCCCUUAUCUUAUUGGAUAUCUAAUAAGCCCAUGAACUAUUAGAUCCUAUGGAUGAGAUCCAAUAAGUGCCAAUGAAAUAUUAUUGGAUAGUAAUCCACUAAUCUAAGAGGCUUGGGUAGUUGGAUGAAGAUCUAAUACCUAAUAGGGCAGGAUCCAUUAGGGUUAAAUUGACAUAGGACUUCUAUCAGUAGGAGGGAUCCAUUCGGGUUAAAUUGACAAAGUUGUUUUACGGUGGACCUCUCGGUGUCAUUAUCACAAGAAGAUUCUUCCCUACACUUCUCAUAUAUGAUAUUUAUCAUCUAUCAUGUGCUAGAUCAUCAAUUAGUUUUGGACUUUUCUUCAUAGAUCACACCUUAUUCUUAGCAUGUCUUUAUCAUCUAUAUCUGACGCUCCAAUUAUUAUUUCCUUAUGAAACAAUAGUUUAUCUCAGCCUAUGUUAUAUUCAUCAAUAUAGCAACUUUAAUCCCCUUCAAACUAAUCAGAGGUAACUAUGCAUCUUAACGAGCACAAUUCACCAAUCUCACCUUUGGAUAUGAUCAAUUAGGCUAAUUGACGGCUCUCUUAGUUGUCCACUAGAAAAUAUUAAAAUAUUGGUAGAACCUAACCUAAUAACAAAUUCUGAUCACAAGUUAUGGCUAUGACUAGACCGAUUUAUUCUACAAUCAAGUUGUUAGCUCCAUAACACCACUAAUCACUUCGUGCAGACUGCAAUAUAUGUUAAAUCUCUUAUCUACUUUAAUGAAAACAAUAAAAAAGGAAAGUACUAUUGCUACUUUAAUAUGCCAUCCCUUAGUACCGAAGAAGUCAUAAUUCAUACUCUUAAUGGCUUAAGAGACAAAUAUAAGAAAUUGACGAUAGUAAUUCAGGCACGUGACUCACUAAUAUCAUUUGAAAAACCAUAUCUAAGUUGAUUGAUCAUAAAAUAUAUUUGAAAUAAGAAGAGAGGAUUUUGAGACCAAUUAUUACAACUCAAUUCAAUAAAUUUUUUUUUUAAAGGGUGACCAUUAAGGAAGGAGGAGAAGAGUUAUUAAGAUAAUCUACAUAAGAUCAUGAUUCCAAGGGUAAUAAACCUUCGGACCAACAAAGAGAUGAUGUUUAAGUCCACCAAAGUGGAGGCUAUGGGAUAGUAUGUUUCAUCUAAUAAUAGCCUUAGUAAGAGAAUUAGAAAGAAUAUUUUUGUUAAAGAAGUCGUCACCACUCUCCACCCGUGAAUCACUUUAAUUAUAUGAUGUCAGUCCUAUUAUAGAUCCCACACAAUGUCGGCAAAUAUUUAGUUCCUUAUAAUAUUUAUCUUUCGCACAUCUGGAUAUCUCAUUUGCAGUCAAUAAAUUAUCAUAAUUUAUGUAUUAGCUCUACACUAUGAAUUAGUUUAUACUAAAAUAUGUCCUGUGGCACCUCAAAUAGACUCUUAAUUAUUAAUUUUUUCGUAAAUACUCAUCACUUUAUCUCUAUGUACUUUAUCUCUAUGCCUUCACCAAUGGUGAUUGGGUAGGCAAUACUAAUAAUGGAAUAUCUACGUUAUCUUUUUUAGAUUAAAUAUAAUCAAUUAGAGUUUUAAGAAAUAAAAUAUAAUUACAAGAUUUAUCACUGAAGUUGAAUACCGAGCCAUCGCCACUACCGUUAUAGAACUUAAUUGAGUCACCAAUCUACUAUACAAUUUGACAUCACCUCAUAAUAUACUCCUAUAAUAUAUUAUGAUAAUAUCGGUGUCACCUACCUAUACGCUAAUUCAAUAUUUUACUCAUACAUGAAACACAUUGUCAUCGGUUUUUACUUUAUUAGAUAUCAAGUUAUCAUACAUUAACGACGUGUUUCACAUGUCUAUACUUCCGACCAAGUAGCAGACUCCUUCACAACGCCUCUAACUCAUAGGAUAUGUUAAUUAUAUCGGUCCAAGAUUGAUAUCUUUAACGAAAAAAUAAUCUUACGAGGGAAUGAUAAGAUUAGAAUAGAAGCAAAUAUGGAAUGAUAAGAGAUUAGAAUAGAGGCAAAUAUGGAAUUACAUCUUUGCAUUCCUUAUAUCCUAAAUCAAUCUAUGCUUUCAUGUUCAAUCAUAAUUUUUAAUUGAGUAAUUUGAGUGUAUCACUUGUUAUUCACAUAUUCAUUGAGGAUACUUCACUCCCAACCUACUAAGGUAGUGAGUCGCUAAGAUCAGUAUAACAAUCUAUCUAUGUUAUUCACUAGAUCUGAUGAGGACAGAAAAAUGCUUAAUUUAUAAUAUAUUUAUUGUUCAAAAUCUUCUUGCUUGCAUUCCUACUUAAGCAUUAGCUUAUUCUUAAUAUCAAAUUUAUUUUCUAAAAGUCGAAUAUGUAGAAUCUGAGAUAUGUUUUGAUUUAUACCGCCACGUUUUUCUUCACCUAAUAAACUCAGUCGAACCAAGAAAAAUAGUAAUGUGAUCAUCUUAUUACUCAAAAGGUUCCAAAUCCAUAACACCGUAAGCCAUCACUGAUCAUUUCAUAUCGGUUUCGAACGAAGUCGACCAAAGCCUGGUGAUAGUGACGAUAACUUCUGGCAUCAUCGUAUGGAUGCUCCUCUCUUCCCUUUUGUCUUGCUCAAGCACCCCAAUCCACAAGCCGCAUGCGGUAUAGUUUUCUGUCCCCUAAGCUGGCCAGGGGAUCCCAGGUGAAGGGGCAGAACGAGAACCUCUCCCCUCUGGGAUUUGCACCUCUUUCGCCACCCAGCUCCUCCAUGGCACCGCUGCCGAGAUGGAGAGAGUAUAUCCUCCACUCUAUCUGUAGAAAGAUGAUGUUGAAGUCAGGGUGGAAUCCAAGCGGCAAGACGUCGUAGGCGAUGUCACCGUCGUCAUGCCUGUGUCGUCGAUGCAAUUCCUUGUGCCAUUUGAUGAGAGUCUGGCAGCUACUAGUGUGCUUCAGCUUCCAUACGCGUUGGCCGGCCUCCGCCACAUUGAUCAAGACGCGCAGUUCCCACUCGUUGCACAAAGCACCGUGGAGGAACCCUCCACAUUUUCCUAUGACACGCCUUAGUCGCCCUGCCGAGCUUAUAUCUGGGAGAAAGUACACCAUGUCUCGGUCUUCGAGAUGGUCGAUGGUGAAGGCGUUCCAGGACUCGUCGGUUAUGGUGACGUCGGUAGCCAUGAGCUCAUGAUCAGCUGAAUGGCAACGUAGAUCCGAUUGCUUGCACGACACCGUAAAACAAGGAUGCGAUUCAUUAGUCAGCAGCUCCUUCUGGCUCCUACGCAUCUCAGACCACUGAAAUGGCGCAUGAGUCUGCCCAUUCUCGAAGAAGAGGAAGCACAUGAACGGAAGGCUGGCAUGGCGAUCGAACAACAACCUCGGGCCGACAAAUCUGCAUCUCUGGCCCAGUUCUACUUGUCUGGGUGUGGCAUUCAUGCUGAUGAUCACCCAAUCAGUCUUGUUCGCGGGGUUGCAGACGAUCAUGCAGUUGAAGAAGUUGGCAACACUGCCAAAACACAGGAGAAGCAACCCGUUGCAGCUAUCCAGAAGAGUCAAGUUCCGAUAGUCAGGGAGAUGAGCGAUGAGUUGGGUGAGAUCGAAGUGCUGAUCUUUGAAAGGGUAGACGGGUGCAUAGUUCCAGGAUCGAUUGGUGGGGCGUCGAUAGAAGAACCCGUGCAUGGGGGAGCGUCGCUGCAUGGUCAUGUAAGGGCCACGGUCGGUGAAGAAGGCAUGCCACGCUUUGGCAAUGCACCGAAACCGAAGCGCUGACUUCACAGGCAAUCGGAAGAGUAUCUCAUGCAACAGGUGGUCUGGAAGAGCAUCAAUGCUCGGGCCGUCGUCCAUCGUCUUCUCAGCUAUUUUCUUGUGCACGUCGAUGUAAACGGGGAAGCAUGUGUUGUGUCUUAUAUAGGGUAUAAUAUCCGAUACGUGAUGGGAGUUGGGAUCGGUAUGUGUCGAAGUCGGUAUGCCCGUAAGGAAAGUUGCUUUGUGGCUCGAUAGGGAAAGAGCAUGAUGGCUAUGGUUGGCUUCUACUUCUCUUUGGGCAUGUCAUAAGGAAAACGAAAGGGAUCCUAUUUUUCUUAAAAUGUUAAAAUUUUAAUUUCAAAUUUAUAGAAAAAAGGUGAACCUUUAUUAGAUGACUUUUUAUAUUCACAUAACAAUUUUAAUUCUACGAGUGUGGUUUACGUGGAAACAAAUUAAUUUUAGUGAUAGAAAAAUAUAAGGAAAAUAAUCAUCCUCAAUCAAGAUGCACAAGGAGAUUGAGGGCUCAUUAAUAUUCUUCUCAUACCACAUAAUAUUUCUUCCAAUUGAACUGUUAUAAAGGUCCACUAUACCAUAGUUUUCAAGGUCGUACUCUAUUUAUCUACAUUCUCUUCUAUUUUGUUCCAUGACUAGUAUGGCCUUCAGAGGGAUCAUGCGAUGAACCCCUAUUCGACCUUGGUCUUCUUAUAGGUUGAUAUUAGAUUGGAUGUAUGAGACCCUCUCGAUCAUACCCCUAAGAUCUGUUAGGCAUGUGGGUCCAAACUAAGUUGAGCUCGCCCGAUUAUCACUGAUAUCUUUUCCUAAUAUUUCGUUGUUAAAAAGAGGGCCCACAUGUCACGAGCAUCAUUUCGCUGACCCUCUCAAUAAGUGCUUUAGUGAAAGUGCUUCACCUCCAACCUAUAGUACCUUUACUCGUGGUGACAAGUAAUAUGUGUUUCCUACAUUCAACACUUCUUCCUCAACGUAGACUCUAUUAGUAUUAGCGGUUGUUCAAUAAUCCUAGUCUCAUUUGAAGGACUAUCUUGAUUUAAAGGAGUAGAUGAAAGAGUUUAUCGAUCACAUUGGGUGCUUUAUGUGCAAGCAUAAAGAUUCAACUCCAUAAACAAAGAGACUAGUGAAGAGGUAGAUCGACAUCAUAAUCGGUAGUCCAACCUCCGAAUGAGACAUUUCACUAACUCACAAAGAAUAUGCUUGAGAUGCUGCUAUUGAGAAAUACUAAAGGCUAGUAGGAGAUUCGAAGAUAACUUUUAAAGAAGAGGAGGCAUGGGAGCGCUAUCGAUAAAUUUUAUUAUGAUACAAGUUAAGGUUGAUUGAUGAACUUAUCAACUCUGAAUAGACUUUGGACUAUAGUGUCAAUCUAAGUUCUUAAAAAGAUCAAGGGUUGAGGAACUAAAGUAUUUUGAAGGAUUCUUGCUAAUUCUACCUCUAAUGGAUCCUUGAGAUGCUGAUCAAACCCCUCGUCAAGUGGCCCUUGACCAAGUUUACCUCAACCAAACCAUCAAAAUCGAGACAAUAUUACCCGAGGCAAAGAGAGUAAAGUACAUUCACUUCCUUAGGGUAAAUGUUAAAGUCUUCCCAUGGUCCCUAGAAGAUAAACGUAACCCAACACCAUUUAAACAUCACACUUGGAGCUUAACCCAUGAAGUAGAGACCUCAGAUAUAAAAAUAUUUUCUCUUAAGAUAAUUAUCCUCUGUCAAACAUUAAUUAGCUGGUAGAUAUCACAUGAAGACAUUUGAUAUUUAUGGAUAUCUUUUGGAGAUAUAAUCAAAUUAGAACAACUUGACACACACACAUUUGAUAUUUAUGGAUAUCUUUUGGAGAUAUUAUCGGGUUAUGUCAUUCGGAUUGAAGAACGGUGAUACAAUAUAUUAAAGAAUAAUGAAUCAAAUAUUCCUUAUCCAGCUGACGUAAUCAUGAAAAGCAAAACGAGCAACACACAUCUAGCUAAUUUAACAGAAACAUUUUAGACACUAAAAAGGUUCAACUUACAUCUCAAUCUAGCCAAGUGCUUUAUAUUGGUAAAUGGGAGUCCAAUCGUCUCAGUUGUUACAUGCCCAACACACUCAUUAAGUUUAACUCGAUCAAAUUGAGCACGUUGUCUUUUCCUUAAAGAAGACUAUCUAGUCAUUAUGAUGAGACCAUUUAAACCCUUAAAUCUAUUAGAAAUUCUAUAUAAUGUAUUACAUGACAUCCACUGAGAACAUCGAGCCGCACAUCUCUCCAAUCUGCCAAGUCUAUUUGACUUUUGUUUGAUUCCUCGUUUAAGAUUGACCAAAGUCAACUUGAAAUGGAAUAAUAAAUACAAUUCUUAUAUAUAUAUAUAUAUAUAUAUAUAUAUAUAUAUAUAUAUAUAUAUAUAUAUAUAUAUAUAUCCAAUUAAGGCUUGCGCAGACUAUUAUUAUGACAACGACAAACCGUUUCGCUGUUCAAAGUAAGACCUCCAUUUCAGAUCUAGCGUUAGGGUUCUCAGCUACUCCACAGAGGACCUCCGAGGCCCGAAACCAUGUCGUCGGCUUCUCGCCCUUGGCCGGGCUACGGCGCCAUACCCACCGCACCCGAGGAGGCGGCGGAGCCGCUCUCUCCGCGGGUCCCCUUCGCCUCCGGUUCCCGCGCUGUCGAGAUGUUCUCCCGCGCCAAGGAGCGCGGCACGGCCCUGGUUGCCACCCGGCGGCCCUGGCGCGAGCUCGCUGCCCCCUCCGCUUUCUCAAGCCCUUACGGCUACCGCGACGCUGUGGCCCGUGUCCGCCGCAACCUCGCCUACUUCCGCGUCAACUACGCUCUCGUCGCCCUCUUCGUCCUCUUCUGCAGCCUCCUCUGGCACCCCGUCUCCAUGAUCGUGUUCCUUGCCGUCUUCGUCGCCUGGUUCUUCCUCUACUUCUUCCGCGACGAGCCGGUGGUGUUCUUUGGCCGCGCCGUCGACGACCGCCUCGUGCUGGCUGCGCUCUCCCUGGUCACCCUGGUCGCUCUCCUGUUCACGCACGUCGGAUUGAACGUUCUGGUCUCGCUGAUCACCGUCGCUGUGCUCGUCGGACUGCACGCCGCAUUCCGCUUCACGGAUGACCAAUUCCUGGACGAGCAGGAAGUGGCUGAUGGGGGCUUGCGGUCGUUUGUUGGCAGCCGAGCUUGACCGUACUCAACCUUCCCAAUCAAAAAACUGGUUUGACAUAUUCUAUCACCGUUUUGCUGAAAUUGAGGUUUGAUGGAGCGGUUUUUGUUGCGAUCAUGUCGAAUUUGUCGGAGGGUGCUUCAACCGAUUGCCACUUUGGUAGGAUCAGAUUCGUGGUGGAUACUGACUGUGCCGGCAUUUUCUGCCUUCUGGUAAAGUGAUCUCUGACUUUGUUUGGUUUAGAGAAGUCAAAAUCUUCAUUUCUUUUGCUUGAUCUGAUUACUCUUUGUGAAUGCUAACCUGGAAAAUUGAUCAUUUUCCUCACAAGGUUGAUAUUUUAUCAUUAUCCUGUAUUUUUUGCUCCCUCUUUCUAUCAUUAUCAAUGAGCUUUGUAUUUGAUGGGUAUAAAUUGUAUAAUUAUUAUGCUAAAUUUUCAUAUAUUGUCAUUGUUGUUAUUUUAUUUGUUGAUCAUUUAGUAGAUCUCACUUUCCAUGUAGUUCUUGGAUCCAUCGAAGAGGUUUAGAUAUUUCAGAUCUACUGUUGGAAAUCAUAAUGUGAUUCUAGGAAUUUAUUCAUAUGUCACAGCCAUGUUUGUCAUGAUAAAAUAUUGCCAACAUUUACACACAUGACCACUACUUAGCUGCUAAACAGUGUAUUGGUUCAUAAAUUCUUUUAUUCCUUCUAAGCUGUUCGAUCAUCUACCAAGAUUCAAUGAAACCAUGUCAGUACCUCCUGAGUCGAGAUCUUGCAGUGAUUCAAACACUCGGCUUGUUUCCUGCUAUCCUUCACGGCAGAGCAAAGAAGGAUAAUACAUUUUCUACCUCCUCACAACCAAAGAUCAUAGAGAUGAAGAGAAGAGCAGACAUGGUCUCUGCAUUGGUAUCCAUUGUUUAGACUGUUGGCACACCAAGGAAGAGGAUGAAUCACACAGAAGCCAGUAGGGAAAGAGUUUGUAGAUGAAGAUGGUAAUCAAGUAUCAGUAUGUGCUCUGUCCAGGGAAGACAAGAUACACAGUGUUAAACACCAUUAACUCUUGCAAUUUAAACUGCAAAUAUCUACUGAUUUGUUUGAUUACAAAAUCUGGUUGCUUUGACAAUUAUUUGUUCUCUAGUGUCUUCCACGCAUCUGUGGAUUUGUAGUAACUCUCAUGCAUUUGUAGUUAUCCAUCUUCCUGAGGGAAGAGACUGCUUGCUGUGCACAGCCAUCAAGUGUUUUGCACUGGAAAUUUGUUAGUGCUCAUCAUGCCAUCUUAGUAAUGUGAAAGAAGUAACAGUAGAAAGGUUACAGAUUGGAAUGACUUGUAUAUUUCUUCUCUCAUGAACUCUUUUAAACUUUAAGCAGACAAGCCUAUAAACCUUUUAUAAGAGAAUUUUAAUUUUGUGUUGGGAGUACGCACACAUGAAAUAUUAUUUUUGUUUUGGGAGGCUGCAACAUUCUUGUGGAUGACAAUUAGUGGGUUCCAACGCCAGUGUCACAAUGAAGAGUAAGGAAAAUAAUAUAAGCAGUGUCACAAUGAAGAGUAAGGAAAAUAAUAUAAGCUUGAACAGUAGGAUUCCAGGAGCUUUCUUUCUUUUCUUAUUGCUUGUAUCAUAAAAGAUUAAUGUUUAUUUUAAUCCUAUGAUCUUGGUUAUAAAUCUGUUAAGCUUUUAUGAUUUAUUCGUGUUUAAAAUAACUCUUACAUUAUAAAAAACGUAAUAUAUAAAUAUUCUCCGUCAAGUCUGAGUUGACAGAUGUUAGAGUUUAUUUAUAUGAUAUACUGAUUCAUAAUAAAUUAUUAAUAUAAUAAUAUAUGUAAUUUAGGAUAAAGAUUCAUUGUAGCUCCAAUGGUUUUGGUCAUUCACUUCUUAAGUCCUUACGAUUUACUUGUGUCUAAAAUAACUCAUAUUUUCAAAAACAUAAUAUGUAAGUCUCUCAUAUUAAGUCUGAGUUAAUAGAUGUUAGAGUUUGCUUACGUGACAUGUUGACUCUUAAGACCUCCAUUAAUGUCUGGAGGAGGCAUUGUCGUGGAAGUGACCCCCAAUAGUAAUACAAAGUUGUUGCUGCUUAACAAGGCAUCAUACGUAUGCAACCUCUCUUGCGUUGACAACGAGCUUAGGAGCUUUUAGUCUUGCCUCAGGUAGAUGUGUAUCGACCAAUUCAACGCUAAGCACGCAGUGGUCUCUUAGUCUCUUUUUCUCCUCUUAGGUGUUUUUGUCUCCGUUGCCUUACACUUUGUCCUCUCCUACCCCCUCACCUACCAUGCCUACGACGUGAUGGUCUCUCUCUCUCUCUCUCUCUCUCUCUCUCUCUCUCUCUUACUUUUGCCUUUGGCGUCUCCUACCUCUGCCUCUUCACUUUCAUCAGUUGUUAUAGCCUCCAUCGCUUCCUUUUCCUCGAUAAGCUGGUCAGGGAGAGCGAAUAGGUGCAUGAGGGUUACAUAGACCAGCUCAAUCGCUCCUUCCACUUGCUCUUCGUCUUUAUGAUGUCAUGUUUCGUGGGGGAGGUGGCUUACAAGGCAUGGUGGUACUUGUCGGUAUCUAAGCGGGUGCCAUUCACGAUGGCAGGCAACGUCGUGGUGGGCGACGUGAUGGCAUACGCCCUAGAGCUGGCGAGUAACAUUCGAAAGCUCUUGAGCUUAUCAUCAGCGUGGGAGAGGUUAUGUGUAUACGUCACCCUACUAGGCAACAACGACUUGGUGCUAUUGUUGAUGGUCGUUUUCACGAUAAUGCCUCAUCUCGUCAUCGAUUGAGGUCUUUUAAAAAAAAAAAAAAUUUAAAUUACACAUGUCAUUAUAUUAAUGAUUUAUUGUGAGUUAGUAUGCUACAUAAGUAUACUCUAAUGCCGGUUAACUGGGAGGAGAUUAUAUGCUAUGUUUUUAAAAAUGUAUGAUUAUUUUAGAUACGAGUAAACCAUAAGAACUUAAGAAAUCAAUAAACAAAACCAUAUAAGCUAAAUCUUAAUCCUAAAUUAUAUAUGUUAUUAUAUUAAUAAUUUAUUAUGAAUUAAUAUGUUAAAUUUUAACAUCUGUUAACUUAGACUUGACGGGACAAGAUUACAUUCUACGUUUUUUAAAAUAUAAAAGUUAUUUUAGAUAUCAGUAAAUCAUAAAAAUUUAAAAUAUGCAUGACCAAAAUUACAUUGGUAAAUCAGAUAACUUUAACCCUAUCUUAAAUAGCAUAGCAUUUGCAUACUCCUUUCCCAUGGAUUGAUACGUUAACAUCUUCUCUCUCCCUUUUCUAACUUUUUCUUUCUCUGUUUAUACAAGGAUAUAUAUAUAGCAUUAGGAUCUUAUAGAGAAACAUUUAAUGUCAAUUCGUUCGCCUAUCUCACCCAGCUCGCCGUGUUCCGUUCCUCUGUUCCUGUCCAUUUCUGGUUGCCUCGUAGUUCCUGUCCAUUCCGUUCCUCGUUGUUUGUGCGUUCCACGUAGAGAGUGUUUUUGGAAGCUAUGAUUUCCUUCCUUUCCUACCUCCCUCGAGAUCUCUUCGUCUGUGAAGGUUGAAGCAGAUACACUUGCAGACGCGGAAACGGGAAUCAGAAACCCUCAGUGGCCGUCACUCUCUGAACCGACAGGACGAAGGGAGAGAAAAGAUGCUUACGUGCGUCCCUACUGCAGUACGGGUCGAGGACUUCGGAUCUGAGCUCACCUCGACUAUGCUCAUCUUCAACCUGAACUCCUCGCGUCGACAUGAUCUCUAUCGAACUCGCUCAUCAAGAAAUCUUGUUUUAGAUUCAGGUCAACUUUAUGGCUUUGGCCAUCUUCUCUGGAAAACAUACGUUAAGUCGCCUCAUUUCAUGCUGCAGGAUACAGAGAGCAGAAGUGUUCAUACAACUACACCACAUCUUCGCAGAUGCUCGUAUUGCUGAUUUCAAGUUUAAACAAACGAUACAAUCCAAAUGGAAGGAACCGAUUGGCCACGAGAGGAUGAGGCCUGCGAGGAGAGCCGACCAUCCCGUGUUUUCCUUCCAAUGGCCGAGAUUUUGUGUUUGUGUUGCAUGGCUGUGGUUUGUCCGCACGCUUUGCUGCUCCUUUAAAUGAGAUAGCUCCCUGGAGCAAGCAUGUUUCUCUGCCGCAAUCACCAGAGUUCUGUUCCCUCAGGUUUAACGGUAAUGGCCACCAUCAUCGCCGCCGUGCCAACUCCCACCAUUAUAAGCGCUGCCGUGACCAAGGGCACUGCUGGACUCUCACCGUCGGUUCUCGGUAUGCUUUUAGCUCAUUGAUUGCACGAGGACCAGUGGCAAGUAGUUCCGAGUCGGGAAUGCGUUGUUGCAGGUCUGCCUCGGAUUAGGACGGGAAGUGGAAGGGUGAGGUGCUCGUCGGAGGCGAAGCCAGUCCCCUUCUCCGGCGCGGGAAUGGGUGCGGCGCUCCUCUCCGCAGCAUGCGUCAUGGGGGCGUCGAGCCCGGUGCUGGCCCUGGUGGAUGAGAGGAUGAGCACAGAAGGGACUGGCUUGAGCUUGGGCAUCAGCAACAACCUUCUGACGUGGAUCCUCGUCGGCGUCUUUGCCCUCAUUUGGGCGCUCUACUUCGUCUACACCUCCACUCUCGAGGAGGACGAUGAGUCUGGGUUGUCCCUUUAAGCUCUCAACCGCAGAGACUGCCGUAGAAAUGAAAGCAUGGUUGCUUCAAAGACUGGUGCCAUAUUUAGUUCCUGUAUGACAAUUCUUGUUCUUCUGGAAAAGCCUUCUGUGUAGAAUGAGAGCUGAUAGGGAAUCUUUCUAUCUGGCCGCGAACUGGCGUGGAAGACAAUGGGGGUAUCUACCUAACGUAGAAGGUGAUCGUGGUUCCAUCCCAAAGGUUUCAUAGGUAUAAAAAUCCAUCAUUGAUACAUAAUAUAAAAAAAAAACUAUAAUCCCAACUCAAAAUUAAUAUAAGCAUUAGAAAGGUCGAGUCGAAAAUCCUCACCUUACACUAACAUAUCGUUAGGAUAAUAAGGAGAUCGAGUUCACUCAAGCCCUCUCUCGGGACAACUCUGAAAGUUCAGAGACCAUCUCAGAGUAAUCAUUAUUGGCUCUUAUUCAAUUCGUAUUUUUCAUCCAAAAAAAUUUUCAGGAUAAAAUCGUAUUGACUCCUAAUCCAUGUUAAUGAGUAUAAAAAAUACUAUUUUGAAUUUCAAAUGAAAGGGUUUGGCACACAAAAAUUAAACUAUCCAAGAUUGGUUGGAUAAUAGAACUUUGUGAGUUCAUAUAUUUAAUAUAUAUCCUAUAUUCUUGGAUUUUCUUGAACAAACAAAUGAAUCAUAUAUUCGAUUUUGAUGUUUUAAGCCAAUAAGGAAGAUUUUGUGCUUAUUAAUUGUAGUACUUUAGUAUAAUACACAAAUAUAAUCAACCAAUAAAAUCCAUUGUACUGUCACAUUAUAUGCAUGUAUGUACAUAUGUAUAAAAUAAUUAAGUUAUACGGUAUAUAUAAUCAACUUUGCUGUAUGUGUUGAUUUAAACGAAUAUACUUGUUUCCAUUCGCUGCUGUAUUCGAGUCUCUCUCCUCCGGUCUCGGAACAUCCCCUCUGCUUCUCUUCCCUCCUGUGCUGCGAAAGAAGCCGCCUCUCGACUUCCCCCCAUGAUUUCCUCGUCUGCCGUGGCCCGUCUCGGCUGCAUCCCGCCAGGUAUACCCUCCUCUCGUCUCAUCCUUCUCCUCCUUUUCGCCGCCACCGGCCCGAUUCCGGAAUGAAGGCACACAGCUUCGUCGUCUCCUUCCUGUUGUCUCUUUCUCUUGGAAUCUCCGGUUAUUGGGAUAGGUCCAAGCUAUCGAUGGCCAAUUCCACUUGGUUCCACUUGCUUUUGGUCUCGUUCGCUGAUGAUCCAACGACUACAUGGCUUGGCCUCGAUCGGAUUGGGUGUACCCGAUCCCGAUCCGGCGAACCUUUUUGUCUAUUGAUCGAGUACAUGAAGCCUUGAGAGUGAUAAAGUAAAUGAGAAAUAAACCGUAACUCGACUUUAGUUAUAACGUAAAGCAUAUUUUUUUAGUUCUUCUGAAGAAAACAUUCAAUUAGGAACGUUUUCAUGAGAAAAAUUACCUACCAACCAACCCAAACGUAACUGGGUUCGAUGAUCCUUUUUUAUCAUUCGAUUUGGAUGAAUCAAAACUAAGCUGGUGAAUUGUGUGUGUGUGCAUCUGCCUCAUUGCACAUGUAUUUCGUUGCAAUCCCCACUUUCUGCACCCUUUGAACAUGCUUUUGACGUUUUAACAGACUUAUUUCUUCCCAUAUGCCUAAUUAUUCUGAUCAGCCAAAUGGAAUUAAGAUAGACACACAGGUUAAAUGUAGAGAAAGGGUGUUGUUUUUAGAGUGUUUGAAUGGGGUUGGAGAGAAGGGGAGAUAGAAAAGAAGUUUUGAAUUUUACAUCAUUGAGCUCUCAACAGGCAUUCCAAGAGUAAUCCACUUGAGAAGGCAUGCUAAAUGCUCAAUGAUACCAUGCACGACUGAGAUGAGGUGAUAAUAGAUGUGCACCUAGAUAACAAAGAUGAUAUCAUAUCAAGUGUUUGAACAAAUGCCUAACUUUUAGCGUUUGGAUUUCUGCUAGAUCCUAAAGGAAACAAUAAUAAAGUGUUAAGUAUAUUUUGUUCAGUACUUGACUAUAAAUUAAGAAUAUAGCCAGGGCAUAAACUAGCCUGGAAGACUAUUUUUUUCUUGUCCAGACAGGGUUCAGCGAUCCAUUAUACUGUAUUAAGAUAUAUAUGGUAGCAGCUACAAUAAAUUCCUACAGAAUGGUUCUGAUCUGGAAAAAAAAUUCCUUUAGUUAAUUGCUUAGAAGUUGGCAUAAAAACCUCUAAAAGAGUGAGUAUUAGAAAUUUAGGAUAAAAAAAGGUGGAGUAAUGAAAUAAAACAUCCAUUAAAGAACUUGUGUACCAUUAAGUUUAGAGUUUUGUUUGCUAUGCGAUUGGAGAUUGUAAAAAGGCAUUGAUAAGGUAAUGUAACUGGACGUCUGAUGGUGAUUUGGAUCUGAAAUAUGAUAAACACUUCAUAAAUGAUACCAACAUUAGUGUUAAGCCAAAGUAUCUUAUGUAAUAGAUAUGGUUGUUGCCAUAUGCUAUUAAUCAGAAAAUAUAAAAUUAUGGGAUUAAGUGAGGAGAUGGCUUUUUAUUGGAAGUGAGGAUAUAAUAUUAAUGAGCUCCAAAAAUGCUAAAAAGAGAACAAAGUUUGUGUUGUAAUGUUAUUUGGUUCAAGUAAAGAAUGUCUAAAUUUGCAUUUAUGUUGUGUUCAGAAGUGCAAGGAAAAUUUUGGCACAGAAUAUAUUUACUAGGAAAGUUCUUGGGAGGAUCUAGAAAAGUUUGUUGGAAGGCUAUAAUAUUAACAAGAAUGGCCUUACAAUCCUACCCUAGAGCUAGAAGUGAAAUUGUUUUCUAUUAAUUUUAGUGUAGGGGCAAUUCAUUGGAGAAUAAUAUAAAGAAAUGAAUGUUAGCCUUGGUUUUCAAUUUAGGGCAUUGGACCUAUCCUAGACCGUUAUACGUACGAGUUGUACUGGCACACGAUGUGUCAGGAGGCCGAUAUGUAUUAAGUUUUGGAAAAUUUCUAAAAAAAGACCAAAAUAUAAAAAAAAGAUGUUACUGCUCGUUAUAAGUGCUGUAGUGAGCAUACCAGGUACUUGGGUAGUACAAGACCUAUAACAGGUGGUACAGGCCUUGGACUGUACCACUUGAUCCCAUGCUGGUAUGCUGUCGGACCAAUAAACACCAUCUGUACUGAACCAUAUCAGGUGGUGUUGCACACCUUAAUGUUAGCAACUCUUAUCUAUCACGUAUGGUUGGAGAGGACAAGAAGGAUUUAUAGAGGUCAAAGGCUUUUGGGCUGCACAAGAGAAAAGACUGCUUUCGGGCUACAUUAUAAAACACUUGAACAUCAAAAUGUGUGUGCUAUUCGGCUAUUAGAAUUUAGAACUCAAAUGCCAGGAAUUUCUACACCACAUUUGCAUCCCAUCAAUCUAUUACUAUCACUUCUUGAAUUGAGAUUAGAAGCAGAUCUCUAGUUCUCAACUUUACUAGAAAUUUUACAAGGUAUUAAAUGGUAAAUUAGGCAUUCCUAGUUCCUAUAGUCAAGGAUAAAAAUUUGGACCAAUGCCAAUAUGGAGUGUUGGUCGAUCUGUUAUAGUACUAAUACUGUACAAUGUAUCCAGUGUUGGUGUGGUCGUUUACAGUCAUCACUAGCCAGAUCAUAGUGAGUGAGUGUGAAAAGAGAGAGCUAUGCAAGUAGGAGCAGUAAAGUGGAGGAGUGGCUGGAGAAGGCUUGACAACACGGAGUAAAGUCGAGGAGUGGAUGGAGACGGCUCUGAUGUGACAGCAUGGAUAGAAAGGAGAAGAAUGAGGAGGAUGAGAUGUAGCAGCUAGAGAUAAGAGGAGGCAACAACAAAGCAACAACAAAGAGGGGAGGAAGAUGAGAAGGACGGAACAUGGAUGAGAGAGAGGUGGAGGCGUGGAAGAGAGGAGGACGAGAAGCAUGCAACAUGGAGGAGCGAUAGCAACAGGGAAAGCAGAAAAUAAGAAGUAAAAAAGAAGAGCAAAAUACAAUUAAGUAAUAUACAUUGGGUAUAAAUACCAGGUAGUAGUCUUACCAUCCGAUAUAGCUGGGUACAGUCAACUUACCACCCAUAGAUCUUGGUACAAGAAGCUUAAUGAGCAGUAAGCUUGGUUUGGACUAGGUUGGGGGAAAUUGUCUGGUUCAUGUACUAGUGAACCAUCAACCGGUAGAAACUGGUUCUUACCGACCACUAAAGUCAAAACUGUGAUCCCUGCCUUCUAACACAUUUUCUAGAUUAGAGGAAAUCCAUGUUAUCAACUGCUGUUUGUCAUGGUUAGAGAGGAUUCAAAAGAUAUUUAGAGGUCAAAAUUCUCAUAAGAGAAAAGACUGCUUUCAGCUACCCUAUAAAGCACUAGAACAUCAGAACUGUACACCAUUGGGAUUUAGGACUCAGGCACAGGAAUUUCCAUGCUAUGUUGACAUUAAAUCAACCCAUUAAAUCAACUUCACUAUGAACAUAACAGUGUGUUGAGAAGUAAUUUUGACUUUUUUUAGUUUGCAUAGUCUUAAAUUCCAGUUUUCUAAUAUAGUCAUCAUUGUUGUUCUCUGGAUUACCAGACCGAACAGGAUUUAUGCCUGCAUAUUUGAUCUCACUUUCUAUAGUUGAGUGUGAAUCAAAUCGAUGACCUAUUUUUAGUUGAUCCAUGUUCAAUUAUUGUUGAUUGGAUCCCAUGAUAUCAUUCUUUCAGUGUUUUCUAUUUGAUAGAUCACAGUAGGAGCUUAGUACUUGGUGUGUAGGUGGUGAGUAAAGUUCUAACGCGGCCAUGUUUCCCACUAUGAAAAAUAUGAACCACUUGUCUAUUGACUGUACAUCAGACUAUGACUUCUCAGCACAGAAGAGGGAAAUAAUAGUAAGAAGCACGCUUCUUUCCAAAACAUCUCCUUCAUCUUUAUCUUUAACUUUUUACUAUGAAUUUAUUAACCUUUUAUCUUCUCCAAUCUUAUGUGUGCUACCCCUUUGUGUUGAAAUUGAUAAUGUUAAUGGAACCUCAACUUUAUUACUGUGCUUCAAUUGGAAGGUUUUCUUCCAUCUUAGUUCCUUCACAGUCCUUUUUGAAAUAAUCUUGGCUUUAUAUAGUGCCAUAUGUUUCUCAUGUGUAAAAUUUUAUCAUUGCUUUGCUGGACGGGUUUUGGAGCUGAACACCUGUAUAUCCUGAUAUAAAUUUGAUAUACCAAUGUUCUUAGCCAUUGAUUGAAAAUUUCGUUAAAUUUAUACUUCAUGGAUUUACUUGAAAAUGAACUUUAAUUUGAUUUUCAACAUAUUCUGCAGAGUGUGAAAUGAGUAGGAAAGAGCUUUAUAGACCCAUUAUUCAACAUGGCCUAGAAUGAAUAUAAAAAAUAAACAGAUAGUUGUAUCCUGGGGCUUAAUAUGCUGUGAACUCGUGCACUGUGAAGCUAAAUUGGACCUUUAAGAAAGUGCUACUAAAUAGCUCCCCUCAGACACCUGCAUUUUUUGUUGUUGUUAAAUUAACAAAAUUCUGCUUUGCAUUUAAUACAUGUUUAUUGAGACUCUGUGUUGCAAUUAAAUUGAUCAAUGCCAACACAUCUUAAGCACUUUGAAGGACUUGAAUUUGGAAGUUGAUUCCUGUUGAAGAUUCUUUGGUACUUAGGAGGAACCAUGCCAACACUUCUUCGGCACUUUGAAGGACUUGAAUUUAUAAGUUGAUUCCUGUUGUACAUUAUUUGGUACUUAAAAGGAACCAUGCCAACACUUCUUAAGCACUUUGAAGGACUUGAAUUUAUAAGUUGAUUCCUAUUGCAGAUUCUUUGGUACUUAGAAGGAACCACGCCGACUCGCAUCAUUUUCUUGUGUCAAACUUUUCACCACCAAGAGGGAUCUUGAAACGGAUACUUUGUCGAAGUUUGAUCUUCACUCAGAAGCAUAACAAUCAGAAGGUAAACACAACAUUUUGUGGUUAUUGUUUUGUCACUUCUNNNNNNNNNNNNNNNNNNNNGUGGUUAUUGUUUUGUCACUUCUCUUAACUCUUUGUGCCUAUUUUAGGUUCUAUGUUACCAAAAGCAAGAAUUUCCUGUGCUAUCAGAAAGGUAUGUUUUGAGCAAGUUGCUCAUCAGUAUGAAAUUAUCACUAAUCACACCAUGCACUUAUAAUGCCAUUUUCAUUUGUUGCUCGCAUGAUAUUUUAUUUGCUAAAGUAUAUUUGUUUCUUUGUUCACGUUGAUACUUAAAUAAUAUUAUUUUCUAAUGGUAAUUCCAUAUUACUAAAAGUUAAGCCUAUUGAUACUUGAAGGUCCAUCGAAAAGGUAUAUGAUUCCUUGGCUGAACAUCUUCUUUCAUCUUUUGCAAAGGUUCAAGAUAUCAAUUCAAAGUAAGUUUAUUUACUUGUUACAGUAAUGAUUUAAUUAUUGCAUGAUACCAUUUAUACAUUGAGUUUGUUGAUUUAUUAUGUUCAUUAUUUACACAUAAAUUUAGAUCAAUGCUUGUAUCUUUUACCUUGAAUAUAAUUGAUUAUUAAUGUACAAUAAGACCAACAUGGUUUAGGGUUUCAACCUUAACUGACUGUAGUUACCGGGAUCCCUUUACCCCUCUUACUGCUUUUAGAAUUAUGACCAAUGUUCCUUUUGUUAUUCAUGAUACCUUGUAUUUAGGACCACACCGUUAUGCUUUUGAGAACAUAUAGGGAUUCACUUUUGUCAAUGUUAUUCAUGACUCAUUCGUGACCAUCAAUAAGCAACAGUCUGAGAAGACUUCUUUCGUUGCCAGCCCUCAUGAUGUCUGGAACGAUGGGUACAAUGUUGAUAAUAGUGAUGAUGUUGGACAACGAUCCCAUGUCUUGCAACACAAAGGGGUGGACAAUGAACAAAGGGUCAAGAAUAUAGUUAUACCAUCCAAGAUAAAGACUGUAGUGUCAGAUCCACCAUAAUCAUUUUUAAGAGAAUUGAACAAUGACAAUGGAAAGACACCUGAUGACUAUAAGAAGAAAAAAGUGAGUACAGCUGAAAUCAAGUUUGAUAGGUCCUUGUGAUUGCAGCUUUUCCACAUGGAUUUUAUGGCAACACUGGUGUGGCAAUUGGCCCCAAAUUGUUGAAUUGGAGUCUUCAUAUAAUCCAUGACAACAGCAUGUUGAAAUGGAGGUAGCUAGGCACACCAGCAAAGGUUCAAAGUUUCAAAUCUAUUGAUUUGAAACUAGAGUCUCAGCUUGAUAGUCUACAAUCAACCAGUCGAAUUUGCUUUAGGUUGAAGGGCAGUUUGGGCCAGAAGAAACAAUUAGUUCAGUAGGUGCUGAAGUUUCAUUCUAUGGGUCCUGAAAACAUGUUGGAACAAAAUUUCUUAGGCAAAUGCCAAGAAGUCAUUUUCAGAAUUCAUUCUGCAGGUACCAAAUUUGUUUCCUUCUGUUCUGUUUGCUUUUCAGUUCACUGUUGAUUUAUCUUAUGCAUUAAAGGGGUGAGCUCCAUUUAGCUUUAUUGUAAAACCUCCUGACUCUGAUAAUCUAUACAAGAUUAUAUAUUACCAAAGCAGAAGAGAUGGCUGCUAACAGAAAUUCUUCAAUAAAUAUCUUAUUCUACGAUGUUGUGCUUCUGAAAGCAUUUGCUUCACCUAAAAUUAUAAUCUUCUGGUAUUGAACCUGAAGUAACUUCUCGUGGAUUGCAGGUACAUUGUUGGUUUGGCUGGUCCACCUGGUGCAGGCAAGACGACCCUAUCAUCUGAAGUAGUCCGCCGUCUAAACAAUCUUUGGUCCCAAAAAGCUACUGGAAAGAAUUCUGUUUCACCUCUUGAAUUUGCUAUAGUGCUUCCCAUGGAUGGAUUUCAUCUCUACUGUUCCCAGCUGGAUGCUAUGGAGGUUAUGCUUCUGUUGUUGACUGGAAUUUAUGUUCAUUCAUCUUUUGUCUCAAUACGUAGCAAAAGCCCAAAUUGACAUGAUCUUAAACUGAUAGAAUCCUGAGGAAGCUCAUGCAAGAAGAGGAGGUAUGAACUAUCAAAUAUAUUUACUAAGUUUGAGGUUAUUUUUGCAAAAUUUUGACCUUGAGAUUGAUGAAAUCAGCCCCAUGGACAUUCAAUCCAGAACUGCUCUUAAAAUGUCUGCAUUCUUUACGGAAUGAGGUAGAACUGCAACUUAUGCACAUCACUUCUUGGAUUAAAUCAAUCCUUUAUAAUUAUCACUUGGGCCUUUUUAUGUAUGCUAAUAAUUUGUCCAUUCCAUUUAAAGAUAUUAUGGUUGUAUAAUUCUUCAGAGCCCUGUUUAGAUUUAAAUUGAAACACAAAGUUAAAUGGUGGUCUUCAUGCUUCAAUAUGCUCAAUGUGAAGAUUGUUUUCUCAGGGAUCAACUUAUGCUCCAUCAUUUGAUCAUGGUGUUGGUGAUCCAGUGGAAGAUGAUGUAUUUGUAAGUUCUGAGUAAGUAAAAUAUUCCCUUUUGAAUUUACUGGCCUAUAGUUCAAACUCCAAACUAUCCUUCUGUUCAAUUAAACCAUGGUCUAUGAAUAAUAUAAAUAUGUUAGGUUCCUUUAUUUUGUUAAACACUGUUAUUCUUGAUUGUGAUGGCAUGUAUUUUGGUUGCUCUUUUUCCUCCGGUCUGGUAGCUUGUCCAAGUUGUAUUGCAUUAUUGUAUGUACCUGUUCCCAAUGUGUGUGUUUGCAUAUAUACACACAGAUGAUACGUUCAACAGGUUUCUUAAUACGUAUAGAUCUUCAAUGUCAAUGCAUCCUGUAUUGAACAUAUCAUUUUCUUUUGGCAGGCAUAAAGUAGUCAUUGUAGAAGGCAAUUAUUUGUUCUUGGAAGAAGGAAUUUGGCAAGAUAUUUGUUCCAUUUUUGAUGAGAAAUGGUAAGGUUGUCUAAAAGGCAUCAAAUAUAUGAUUUUCUUUAAACAUUAAUUUAAAAAUAAGUUGUAGACAGUUGGUUAUAUCUGAGGUUUAGUUGUUGCUCAUGUACUUAAAAAGAUAAUUUAUGAUAUGUCUUUUCUGAUUGGAUUCUCCACUCAGUAAACAUUGGUUGAACAUAGUUGAGAGUUGAGAGAGUAUCUUGAAUGACCAUGGGCUCAACCUAAGCCUUGAUUUUAUGGUGUAGCUAAUGCUUUUUAUUAGAUAUCUUGCUUCAGUCUACAGAACAUUGAUCUGAUAUAUUAUUCAUUUUAGAUUUUACAUGUGUUAACUUAUUUAUAUCUUUCUUCCGAAGGUUCCUUGACAUUGACAUCAAUGUAGCAAUGGAACGGGUUCUAAAAAGACAUAUAUCUACAGGUUAGUUAUCAGCGUAUUGGGCGAUUCAUGCUUCACUCGUUGGUGGUGUCUUAUCUUUCUCAUAUUGUUCUACAGGAAAAGAGCCAGAUGUUGCAAAAUGGCGGGUAAGAAUAUUUCUAGUAUUUUUCCUCAGACAGUUUGCUUUUCAAUUCCUAUCCCAAUAGAAUUGUUGGAAAUUUAGAUAACUCAUAAGAGCAAAUAAAAAAUGCCAACUAAUGUAUCAAUGUCCUUGGAUGCAUGGCCAUAUGACCCUUGGUAAUCAGGGACAGUAACUUAGCAAGGAAUGAGAUGUAGGGUAUAACAUUUAGACAUCUCAAGUACUGGAUGCACUCAGGACGGUUGACUUAUUUGGCAUGAAAUAUGAGUCCUCUUAAAUCUUUAUAUCUGAUUCUGUUGACACUCGACACUACUCUUGAACCUAUUUCAAAUUUGUUUGAGAUCCCUUGCAUGUAAGAUAGUUGAGGUUUGGAGCAGGCUUUACAGAAUGUAUGAAUUAUUGAAGAUUUUUAGGCAGUAAAUUCCUGUCUCACAUUCAGAUUUAGCUAGAGGUAAUAGAUCAACAGGAAUGUGUUAAAUGCAACAUGUGAAACAUUUGUGUUGAUAUCUAUGUUUUCAUUAUUUGAGUUUGUGAAUUCGCUACACAUUCUUUCUGUUUACUUCUCUUCCAACUUGCAAUUAACAAGUUUCUGAACUGCUGUAUUUUCUUCAUCAAAACAGCAUUCGUUUUAUAAAUUUUAGUCUGUUUCUUGUUGUGGCCAAACUCCUAAUUUAUCAGUUGGAAGCAAUCAAAAGUAUUUUCUUAUAGAUCUUUCCAAUAUUUUCUUGAACUAAAUACACUUUUGGUUUUAUUCUGAUUAAACCAGAUCGAGUAUAAUGAUCGACCAAAUGCAGAGCUCAUAAUGGGAUCAAAGAAAAAUGCAGAUCUUGUAAUCAAGUCAGUGGACUUCUAAUUGUGUCAUGCAUUUGUCAAGAGGAAACAAAUCAAAUAAGGCUGGUGUUUCUUCUGGCACAAAAUAAUGGCUGCCAUGUGCACAUUCAAACCAUGUUUCCAUAGUCAAUAAAUUGCAUAAGUUACAUUUUUUUUCUAAUUCCUAUCGUGUACUUUAAGUCUUUAUUAUUAGUCUGGAAAAAAUGUUAGCACAACUGAAGUUUGCGGAGACCAAUCGAAUGUAUUGACACACGAUAUAUUGGAUGUAUGUAUCGAGUUAUAUCGAGGUGUAUCGAUGUAUCAUAUUUAUUAUCCACAUCGAAUAGUACAUUUUAGUAGGUCAAAUCUUGCAAAUAAUAGAAUAUAGUAAUCAAUAUACUUCGAUCUGAAUCCUCCAAUCCGAGAAAAUUAAAUGAAUUGUGGUUUAAUUUCUAACUUUUUAAACUAAACCGCUUAAAAUAAAUAUCCGAUUCAAAUCACAGUAAAUGUUACUAAGUUCUACCAAUUUAAUCAUUGGCCAACGCUCACAUCGCCCAUUCACAUAUUUGUGGGCUCGUUGUGGGCUUCACGGGUUUCUCCAAUCAAAAGGCAGCUUGGGGCUUCGGGGAACCUAUUUCUCGAUCCAAUUAUGGCCUGAUUCCCAACUUAUAGCACGCCGCCGGCCUCCUCCGUCAAACCCUCCAAACAGCCGACGCACCAGCCGCCGCUCCAGCCACCUCCGAGCAUCCUCUACCAGUCUCUCCUCACCAUCGAUCUUCCUCCGUCGCUCCCGAGCGAGUUAUCGUCGACUCCCACCGCCGGUCCGUCCCUCCUCCAUCGAGCAAAUUGAUCUUUGUUUGGUAACACGUGGUUGAACGACUGCAAGUUCUGCUAGGUUCUAAGAGUUCUUAUAAUUCUUGAUCCUGUUGUAACUUUGUGAUUGCUAGUUUCUUAACCUUGCAUCUGUGCCUGUUGUUCCUACAGCAAGCUGGCUGCUUUCAGUUUUCUUGUUGUGGGAAUUUUCAAUCUAUGGAUACAUUCAAGUAGGUGUAUGGUAGCAACCAUUUAAUUUGCGUUUGUUGUCUUAAAAGAAAAAAGGAAAUGUACAUCCGUUUUGUUGGUAGCCUUAUAAGAUUGUGUUCUUUACUGUUAAAUAAGUGGACUGGAAAUAAAUGGCGACAAAUUUGGAGUUCAUUUUAUGCACCCUGGAAGACUGAUCUCAUUCCAUGUAUGGUCCCAAUGUUGCAUCUCUAAAUUCUGUCAGUAGGGCUUCCGAUGUGGAUCAUAGUUAGAUGUCAAAAAGCACGAAAUCUGCAUGCUUAGUGUCAUUGUAACUUCCAAUUUGAAUCAUACUUGUAUGGAAAACAGCAUAAACGAGUGCUGGAUGAUAAAUGUUGAAAACCUAUAUAUGUCCAUACUUAUCUUGAACUUGAUUCAUAUAAAUAUUUGUGCUGUCAAUUCAAUGAUUUGAGGAGGCCAAAUUAUAAGUAGCACCACCACCACCAUUACUUAAGGUUCAAGUAUGAAAUUGGAAAUUGUUAUCUGCAGAAUGCUCGAGAUCUUCCCGUCGUUUCCGUUUGUUAAGAUGUGCAAAAAGACAUAUAAACUAUAAAGAGUUUAUGCAAUUCUUUGUUGCGUUAUCUUCUUUAGAUUUUUAAUUUGAGAAGCCAGUUUAUUUUUGAAUAAAUUAUCAUUAUAGUUUUCAUCUUGGAAUAGAAAAUUUUGCCUUCUCAUGCCUUUUUUAUAAUUUAAAUUCUUUUGUAGAUUUUUAGGAUUGGGCACCCAUAGCUUAUUUCAUUAUGGCAAGUGAAGACUCUAAAGACUUGCUGAAGAAUGUGGAUUGGAAGACAGUGGGCAAUGCUGUCAAUAGUGAUUCACUUGGACCAGUCACUAAAAAGCGGCUUCCUAAGAAAAUUAGAGAAGUCCCUGACUAUUAUUUUCUUCCACGAAGGUCAUUACCUUCUUCUAUUGCAAUUUAUGGAGCUAUCUGCGCAGCUGGAGUUGGAGCAGGAAUGCUGCUGGAGGUUUGGAUUAACAAAAAGAUUAAAGGUACUUACUUGUUGUACGCAAAGUUAAGAUACUUCAAAUGCUUUCUUUAUGUGAUGUGCAAUUUACUAAUUGCCACAGUUGAGAGAACUUACAUGAUCAAUCUAGAAUUAAAAUGUCUGAUCUAAUGAAACCAUCUACGACAACGAAUGAGGGAUUGCACUGCAUCCUUAAAUCAACUGGUCUUCAAUAGUCUAGAUUAAGUUUUUUAGUGUUGCAUAUUUUAAUGCUUAAUUGCUUCCAAAAUGUAGCUUUUAUAAUUAUAGAUGCAUGAUCCAUGUUCCAAAAACCCGCCAGAUCAGCUCAAAACUGGAUGAAUAUUUGUUAUCCAUUGGUUUAUAUGCUCUGGGUCAUUGUUUAAAAUUUCAUAUAAUGGACCUGUAUCUGACCCCUGGCCUGACUGGUAGCGGUCGUGUACAAACCUAUGUAUCGACACAUAUGCUGGUACACACUGUGAUACCAGAAGAGAGAGGAGGUGAAUACCUUGGCCAGCAAUGGGGAUGCUCACACCCCGACAGGGGUGGUCAGCAGUGUGUGUUGCUAGAGAGCUCAGAAGAGAUAGGCGAGAGAGAGAGAGAGAGAGAGAGAGAGAGAGAGAGAGAGAGCAGGGCGCACCAUGGUCAAACCUAAAAAAAGAUAUGGAAAGCACAAACGAAUGAACCAGACCAGCCUGCUGGGAAAGGGGUAGUCACCGUGUCCUGGGUCACCACCAGAUCGGUAAAUUCCAUCCUGUAUGUACCAGUCCAGGUGAAAUCAGGAACCUUGCUCCUGGUUAGCAGGUUAGCACAUUAAGUGCUUGUGCAUUUGUAAACUCCAUGAAUUCAAGAAUGAGAAUAUUGUUAAUUUUUUAUCUCAUUUACUCUUGCGACUUGGCAACUCAUUGAGAAAUCAGCCAAAGUAUUCUGGUUAAGCUUCUGACUUUGAAGUUUGUAUGUUCUACACUCACUUUUGCUAAAGAUAUAAAUAGGGUAUUUAGAAUAUUUAUUUAUCUUUUGUUGUCUUUAUUAUAUGCAUUUUAAAUAUAGGAAAAGAAUAAAGAUAUGAGAUACUCACUAGUCAGAGAAAUUUGGUGCUCUUCCGUGCAUUUGCUAAAUCAAACUAUUCUGACAUGCAGAGGAUGGUGGAGUCCUUUGGGAGAGGGACAAAUUCUGAAAGCAAUUACUCAGAUAUACAUAGUUGGUUAUCCUACUAUAAAAUCAGCAAUUCCAGCUAUUACUGCAUCAGAAGCAAUAAGAAGUUUCUGUUUUCUCCUCUGGCAUUGAGCGAUUUGCAAUGACCUUUAUGGUUCUGUACUUCUUUGGGUUUUCUAGAUAUUCUUUCUUUGAAGAUCCUCAUUGUCCGAGCUUUUGUUGCGUGUUCUCUAGGUCCUUUUUCUAGGAGUUUGUUUGUACUUUUACAUCAAAUUGGCAAAAAGUUUUGAUGUUAUUGGAGAGUGUUGAUAAUGAAAUUUUGAACGCAAGUAUUUUAUGUGAACUUAUUUUAAACUUGUUUUAUGGCGGCAGGUUUCCUGUUGUCUAUUUGAGCUUGCUAAUUUACUCUAUUUUUGUGUUUUUUUCAAUUGAAAUCCAGUGCAGGAUAGAUUUUUGGUGAUUCUACUUUAUCGUUUUCUUUUGAUUUCUCAGAAGCAUUAUAGGAAUCUCAACACCAAGCAAAAGUUCUUACUCUGUAAAUUCCACAGGGAAAGCAGUUAUAUCAUCGAUCGUAGCAGGAAAGAUUACCAGCAUUACAAUGAGCAAUUAGCUCUCAAGUUUUCCUGUCCGGUUGCAGCAGAAUCCCUACAUGCAUGGGUAAGCCGUCUUUGUCUUGUUUGAGGUAUAUUUGUUUUUGGCUACGUAGAAUGGAUCGUCAACAUAAACUCCAUAGAGGAAAAAGAAAAAGAAAAUUCAAUAUACUAAUAUCAAGUUUGGAUUCUGAUACAUUGGGAUGGAACAGCAGACACCAAAGUCAGGCUUUGGAUCCAAUGUCUUCAUUUCCAUCACUUAAAAAGUGGAUGAUGGUUUUCUAAUCGAAUAAUUCGAUCUAGUUUUUGAAAAUUACGGUGAUCCAAAUUUUAUUUUGUUUUAUAAUUUUUAACUGUUUCAAAGUCAAAAUUGGUCAAAAUUGACUAGAUCAAAUCAGCACAUACGAUUUCUCAUCGACGUUUGGAGAACCACGCCGAACGAAGCAAUUUUUGUAGGGUGAAUCGGUCCGGCUCAGUCGAUUUUACGGUUUAAAUGGGCGUGAACCGUAAUGGGUCUUAGCAAACUGAGGACGACGUGCUGGCUGCCCAUUCGGUCCUUUCCUAAUACACCGCCCGGUUUCGAUUUAAGUCUCUGUCUCUCUCUCUCUCUGGAGAUGCCACCAUGUUAUCGUCGGCGGCGUCCCUCGCUUCCAAACGCCUCCCCGCGAUCUGUCGAUUUCUCCGCUCCUCCUCUCCGGUAGGCUUCUCUCCGUCGAUGCCUCUUCCAAUAACCAUUAUUUCUCCUUCGUUUGUCAUUUGGGAUCCCUAAAUGUUGGGUUGCCUUCCAGGUUGCAUUCGCCCCCGCCAGAUCUUUCUCCACUGCUUUGAACUACGUGAGGCCAUUUGAUCUGACAUUUAUUUGUUGAUUUUUCUUUCUGUUACGCCGGUUGGGAUCAAUUCGUGGUAAGGUUGGCAAAUUUGUGUUCUGUCAGCACCUUGAUUCGCCUGACAGCAAUUCGGAUCUUCCAUGGGACUUUAGUGAAGCAAAUAAGGAAAAGGUACGGACUUUUCUCUUGUCUUUGUAAUCUAUGUUUCAAUCCGUGAGUGUUGGGAUACUUUUUGUGCUUCUGUCAUCUUAUCUAUUUUAAGGCAAAGUUGAAGUAAUUAGAUUCUUCCAUAGUACCUAUUUUUUCCUUAAAUUUCGGCUGUGACUAGGUUGGUGGUGAAAUUUAAAGCUUUCAUGUUGCUUAUCUUUAAUCUUCGAUAAAUGAAGAAAAUGCAAGGGGGCAUAUCUACUAUUACAUCUCUUCAUUGUUGAACCAACAUGCCGAGACUGGUUUAAUUUCUAAAUCUUGUCAUCAUCUAUUCUUUUGCAACUUAUGCAUGUUUCUUCCUGAAGAGAAUGAGCCACUAGGUGUCCAACAGAUGAUCAGGAGACUGCUUAGGAAAAAAAAUUAGAAUAAAAUUGGGGGAGAUUAACUAUGUCUUUUGGAUAAGUAAUAUGUGUGUGAACUGGUAAAAUGUGGAGCAAGGUAUCAUCUUGUUUACAUGUUAAUUUUUUUAAAACUCAUCUGUGGAUCACCUUUACCUGCAAUAAAUAGAAAGCUGCAAGAUGUUUAAUAAUAACAAGUGGUAGACUAAAGGAUGUUUGAAGGCCCCGGAGGAUCAUGGUGGGCAACUUGGAAUGGUAUCUAGGUUGAACUCCAUUUACCUUUCUAAAGCUUGUGAAAAAUUACCAUGAGGCUUGGAAGAACAGUUUAAAGUGAAUGGAACCUAUUAUUGAAAAUUGUUGUUCUGUUGAGAUGAAUUAUAGGGCAUAACAUGAUUUGGUAGAUAAUUAUAUAAGUCAUACUUUCUGGACUGUCUUAAUUAUAUUCAGAUGUAAAAAAAAGGAAUACAGAAGUCAAAGAAAGUUGGGGGCAACUUAAAUUAGGGAUGAUUCUGAUGAGUAAAUAUGAUGAGAAUACGAAACAUGGUGCAAUGAUAGUAGUAACUUUAUAAGAGAGUUCAAAGUGGUACAAUGCACCAGAGUCUGGCAUAGUAGUCUUGGAGUAGAUGUAGUUUGAAGCUUUAUAAAAAAACUAAAGAAGAACGUAGAAAUUGAACAGAAGAAGGCAUUUUGUUCCUUUUGGUUUUUAGCCAUAAGAGGAAGGCAUAUGGGUUUCAACUUCCUGUCUGCAUUCAUCAUCCUUGUGUUAGAUUAUCAUUGGAACAAAUUGUGAGGCAAAUUGCAAACUCCUGUAACCUUCAUAUUCACAAUGAUGAUACAUAAGAAAAAUGAUUCCGAGUUAAGUGUACUCCAAUGGACCCUCUAGGUUCAAAUUAGAAAUAUAUCAUAAGCAAUCAUUAGUUGCUCUUGAGUUUGAAUUUUGUGAUGUUACUCCUCGUGUAUGAUUUUUGCUCUCAUUGUUAUCUUUCUUCAGCUUUGGCAAUAAUGGAGAUCAAAUCUCUUUGUAUCUAGUAUAAUAUUUAAGACUCAGAGGUCAUCUCCAUGAGUAAAUGCAGGUCAAGGAGAUACUCUCCCAUUAUCCUUCCAACUAUAAGCAGUCUGCUGUUAUUCCACUGUUGGAUCUUGCACAGCAGCAACAUGGCGGAUGGCUACCACUGUCUGCAAUGAAUGUGGUAUGUUAAGGCUCUCGGAAUCCGUGAAUAUAGUUCUUUUAGAUAUCCUUAUCUGACCUAAUUUUUAAUUGAUAUUAUUGCUAUUUUUUUAUGAUGAUUAUGGGCUAUUAGUAAGAUUCAUCUUUACCUAUUCGUUUAGCGCACACACACACACACACACACACACACACACACACAUAUAUAUAUAUAUAUAUAUAUAUAUAUCAGGGCUAUUUUCUUUUACAACCAUAUUUGUUUUUGAAGAAGAAUACCUUUGUGUUUUAACUUUAGAAACUGAAUCUUAAUGCUCGAGCAAAGAGCACCAUCCAUUGAGGCAUGCUUGACAACAGUGGUCCUUUAAACUCAAAUAAUAUUGUUACUCUUUUGUAGCUAGAUGUAUUGUUACUAUUUAGUUGGUCAUUGAGGAGAUAUCUAGAUGUUACAUAUGAAAUAUUUAGAUCUUCAAUAUGUCUAAUUUGAGGUGCACCUCUGAACACAUCAAAGUGUUGCAGUACAUUUGAUCUCUAGCACCUUAAAAAUCUUACUUAUCUAGCUUAUUGCACAACGAGGUCUUCAUCUUAUUUUCCACCUAUGUUCCAUGAGACAAUCAUAGGCUUCGAAUUGUUUUAUUCAUUUAUUUAUACACAAUCACCUUAUAUCUCUGGUUGAUUUGCCUCAGAGCAAUUUGAUAUUUUGGUUUUUAUCAAGCUGCUGAUAAUAGCUCCACAGGUCACUUUCAUCAGUAGGUUUUCUUCUGAUGUAAUAAGGAACUUGGCUUCAAUCCUUCAAUUUUGAUAUAAUCUUCCCUUCUCAUUAUCCUUGUUAAGUUAGACAAAAGAACAACUAGAAAUAAUACUUAAGUGAGCUAUACGUUAAAUAAAGAAACUAGUUUCUAAGGCCUAUUAUGCUUUGUAGUUAUCAGCUGUUUAUUUCUAUUGGUUCAUGUAUUAGCUCGGCCUGUUCUUAUUCAUAUUUCAUAUACACUGAUGGAAAGCAUCAGAUGUCAUAUUGUUAAUUCCAAAAAUAUGGUAAGUUAAUGUUACUUCAUGUUGGAAUGAUUUGGCUGGACCUGUGUGAAUGCAUUCUAUUAGCAACUUAAAUUUUUAGGUAGCAAAAGUGGAACUGGGAUAAAAAUCAACAACCAGAUUGACUGGAUCAUAUGGAUUAUGGAUAGAAGUAUAAUUUAAAAUAAAAAUGGAGAAAAUAUAGAAAAUAAAAUAAUUUAGAAAAUAGAAAGAAGAUAAGAACACAAAAACGAUUCUAAAUGUCAUCUGAUUGAUCCUUACCUUUUGAUUGGCCAUUUGUUGAAGAUGAAAAAUUUUCAAGUGUGAGUUCAGUCAACAUUUCACAUUCAUAAAUGGGAAACGGAGGUAACUAUUAUAAAAAUUUGAACUGCAUCUUUUUAUUAUUUAAUUUUGUUAUCAUUAACUUUAAUGUUAUAUUAUUUUACUAAGCAUGAACAAAAAUAAUGUUUUACUGUUUUAUAUAUUGUUCUCAAUUUUCUAAACAUUUUAUCAUAAAAAACAUAAUAGUUUUCUUUAAUAAAAGAUAAAUUUAAAUAUAUAAAUAUGACAAUAAAAUUAAAUAAUAUAUAAUUAAAUAUAUUUAUUUCGAUAUAUAAUCUAUAACUUAUUAGUUAUACUUAAAUAGUUAGGAUUUAGUUGAGUACUAGGCUUGGCCUAGUCUUCUGCUUGUGGCUUGAGAAAAGUGUGCAGGUAAGCUAUGCUGGCAGUGAGCAGAUGAUACUUGAAUACCAAAGCAAGCGAUGAUUUAUUGAUCACACUCGGAUCCUCUCCCUUCUCCCCCCUCCUUUGGUUUCCCCUUCUCUGAUACUCCCAUCUGUCUCUCAUAGGUUGCAAAGCUAGAAUUACUAUCAGUAUUGGCUAGGUGCCAAGGCUCAAUAUCAAUUGGUUCUGUUGGUUCAAACCCGAUCAACAAAAUUAAAAUUUUAAAAUAAAAUAAAACCCAUAAAAAGGAGUAAAGUCUCAAAAUUAGAAAAAUAUAAGAGAAAUGUUAUAAGCUUCUCUAUAAGUUUUCAUGAUCUUCUUCAAUUGAAUUUAAGGAAAUAAAGAACUGACAAUCCUCCAUAUGUACCACCAGCCUAUAUAUGUUACAUUGACAUUUACUAUGUACCUAUUCUUGAGAACAGACAUCUUUGAACAGUAUCCAAUAGGAGUCAAUUAUGUGGCUUGCUAUAUCCAUUUUAAUAGUUGGCCUCUCACAGAAUUAUUAGGGGCAAAAUUUAACUACCUCAUAAAUCACGAUCGUUGUUUAAAAGUUGCUAGGGCCAAAGGUGCCACAAUUAGCUUCUGGCUCAAUUGUGCUUAUACCUCUCUUAGGAUUUGGAAAUAGUACCAAGACAAUGAAUGGAUAGGAAUUGAUAGCAGUGAAUAAGGUUAUAAUGAUGUUAUAAGUUCUACCCUGUUUUGUCUGUUCAUUUUAUUGUUUUUGUAGUUUCACUCAGUCCAUUCAUGUGAUCAACAACUUUUGAUAUCUUGUUCUUUUGCUAAGUUCAUUCUAUUUCAGCUCAAGAGCUUCAUUUGUUAAUUCUGUUUGAUAUUUGAUGUUUCAGAUUGCUAAAGUUAUAGAGGUUGCUCCUAUUCGUGUGUAUGAAGUUGCAACUUUCUAUUCGAUGUUUAAUCGGACAAAGGUGCACCAGCCUUGCUACAUUUGAACUUUUCAAUAUGUGAUAUAUAUUCAGUUUGAAGUUUUGUUUCCUGACUAUGAGUUGCAUUUGUUUGUGCAUAUUCUGAUAUUGUUAAUUUGGUGCAGGUUGGUAAGUAUCAUCUUUUGGUUUGUGGAACAACGCCCUGUAUGAUACGUGGAUCUCGUGAGAUCGAAGAAGCCCUGCUAAAACACCUGGGUGUUAAACGCAAUGGUGAGUGUUUUUUACUAUACAAUGCAUAGGACAUGGUAUUCAAACCUUGAACAAAGGUUUCAUAAACCAGUCUGUAUAUAUGAAAUCUGCAGAAGUGACCAAGGAUGGAAUGUUUUCUGUUGGUGAAAUGGAGUGCAUGGUAAGAUUUAUUCUUGUCAGAAUUUUCUGUCCUGCAUUUUUUGGUAUAAGUCAAGCCAUUCACCCAAAAAUGCUGUGAAUGCCUGAUCUCUCUUUGAUACAACACAAUUUUAUGGCAAUCCUGGUCUUCUACAGGGCUGUUGUGUUAAUGCUCCAAUGAUCACUGUGGCUGACUACAGCAAUGGUUCAGAAGGAUAUACAUACAAUUAUUAUGUGAGUACUUAUGAACUCUCUUAUGCAUUUUAAAGUUCUUAUGAACUCUAUAAUCAUAAAGCAAGAGAGAACAUUGAACACUUAAACAUUCCCUUUGUUGCUCCAAAAAUAUAAUUGGUCUUAUUCCUCAAAAAAGAUAAAAGAACUAAAUAAACUAUCUCUAGUGAUACUGGCCACACAUCUAGCAAAAUUAUAUUUGUCUAUAUUCAUGAUUUGUCAUUUUCUUCUGUAUUGAAUGAAGAAAGACUUAUUCUAUGUUAGGGUAAGCCAAUGACAGUUGUAUCUCAGAUUGUUCCUUGAUUGUUUAUCUUCCAGCAAUUAUUCUAUGCCCAGUUCAUCAGGGAAUAUCGUGGAUUGCAUUAUUUUUGGCAUAACCGCAAUGAAAGGGAAUUGGCUAUAUAUCUGAACAUUUGUCUUUUAUCUUGAUCGUCAUUGACUGUAUGAGGGAUCUACAAAAAUGACACUUUGCCUCCCAGCAUAGAAGCUGAAUAUAUUGUGAGAAGAUUUGUGUUUGUAUCCUGUAAUUACAUAGGCAAGAGACUAUUGACAACUUGCAACUGGUGGUACUAGUCGUGAGGCAUCAAAGAAGCUGAUUAGUAUUAGUUGAAGGAAAAUGGUGGUGAAGAAUGGUUGCAGCAUGAGUAUUAGAAGAGGCACUUUUAGCACCGAUCAUAUUGACUCCAGCUGAUUUAGGUACUAAAGAAAUCAUGUUGAGUAUAUGACGUCCAUCUCAUUUGCAUUAUUCUUGUAUCAUUCAUGAAUUCCAAGAUGCCUGAAUUCAGGUCAUAAGCAGUUUAUAGAUGCUACAUGACCCAUGAUUUUUUUCCCUACUAUGGACUUUUUGACGGGUUUAAGAAAUAACAUUAAUUUGAAAUCAUCUGUUAUAUAUCACUUGAUGCUGCAGUUUGAUGGUUUCUACAGACUUUUAUGAUCGAGUAGAAAAUUAUCACGUCAUAUAACUAUUCCUUUUUUUCCCCUUUCCAGGAAGAUGUUACACCCAAACGAGUAGUUGAGAUUGUUGAGAUGUUGAGAAGGGGAGAAAAACCUCCAGUAAGUGGUUUGAAUUGGUGCCUGAUCCUUUGCUUGAUCUGUCCAGAUUCCCAAUGCUGAUUUCUGACUUCUUGCAGGUAGGGACGCAAAAUCCUGAUCGCAUUAGGGGCGGACCAGCUGGAGGGAACACAAGCUUGCUCGGGGAGCCAAAGCCUCCACCAUGCAGGGAUCUCGAUGCCUGCUGAUCAUCGGUUGAGUUGUGCCAUGAAUAUAGAGAAUUGGUGCAACUUGGCCUCAAAAAAUCUUGAGAAGCUUGCCAUUUCACCAGUUUCGACGAUGAGCAAUAGAGACAAUGGUUUUGUUAUCUACUUAUAUUAUCUCUCAAGAUAAAUUGCAACCAUAUGGCGUUCUGUAUUUAAUCUUGGUUUCAAUAGCCAUCAUUGUCAAAAAAGUGGUUGGCUUUGACAAACUGCAGUAUAAACGACACCAAUGAGUAUCUUAGAUGGUGUUGGCCUCCUAAUAAACAAGUGACUCUUGGUAUCAUUUAGUCGUUUCAUCUUCUUCAUCUAUUUUGAUCUGUGAUGAUUUCUGCUAGAAGACCUAACAUUUGCCACAAAUCUAAAAGAGAAUGAUGGAGGUUUAUGGUGUUUUUUCAAGGUUAUUUGGACUCGAUGUCUAGGUAUCUGAACAGGAAUCAUGCCAAUCUUCACCCUGAUACAGGCAUGCAAUUAUUUUUUUUUCAUUACUCGUUCCAUAUAUAAAUGUUACAUAAUCAUUUAUAAUGUGAUUUAUAUCCUUCUUCGGUUGAUAGUACUUACAAUACGUUAACUACUGGGGUGAUUUUUCACAGGUGAUAUGAAAUUAUUAUUACACAUACUAAAAUCUGGUCCUAUCACGGUUUUACUUGGGAUCAGUUCUCAGCCAUCGCCUUCUCCCAAAAGCCGCCUGCUGAUGUGGCAGCAUUCCAUUGGUCAGGAUAGAAUCUCGUAGAUUUUGGACGGGGAGAUGAUGUGGCCUCUAAGACAGUCGCCACCAAUUGAAGCAACAGUAUUCUGCCACGUAUUGGUCGGAUGGUCCAGCGGUGGACCCCGUUGCUCCGAGAGGCUAUCCCUCUCCGGCUAUUGCAGCAGAUCCUGUAGAGUGAUGGGUUUUUGAUCGGCUGCGGACAGAGAUGACUGUGGAUGAUAGGCCGCCGUUCCUGCGUCGAUUCGUUGGACAGAAUCUUGACGUACAUGUGCAUAUCUAUAUGACUCUUCCUGAGUGGAUUUGAGUGAAGUGAUAGGACAUCAACCGACGUGGCCAUCAGACGCUCCCUUAUCCAAAUGCCCAAUAAAAUAUCAGCUCCUGAUCAGGAACAAUGUCUGCCUUGAAAAAGAUCUCCUCGGUGGGCCCUCACCAAAAAAAUCCAUUUUUUAUUGCCUUGACAGAAACCCCCCCGAGUCCUUCCCUGCCACAAUCUUUUUGGCAAGUUGGGUCACUUCGUAUUCCUCCACAUCCCAAGAAACCACAAAACAAAGAGAACUACAUACAUCAAAUAAUUCAGCUACAAGGAAAGAACAAAAGAUGGAGAAUUGAGCCUUGGAACUGUUGCUUGUGCUGUUGUAAUUUGUGCUCACGCCCGUCAAACCAAGGAAUUCUGAUGGCACCACCAGCAUUCCUAUCCAAUGGUGCCACUUGCAAGACAUGGGGUGUUUAUGGGAAACUCCUUCGAUUGUUCUUGGCAUUCGCCUCCUUCCCCAACCUCCCCUAUAAAUUGCCUCCCAAAACCGAACCAACCAAAGCAAAAACCGCCGUCUCCUCUUCCUUCUUCUAUAGUAAAUGAUUGAGAUGCCCAAUUCUGAUGUUGUUUAGCGAGAUUCAGAGGUGUAGAGGAGAGAUGGAGUGGGCGAUGAAGAUCUCCGACGAUGCCUGGGCCUCCUCCCUCGCCGCACCGACACCAGCGGACGGCGACGACCAUCAAGGGCCACGCUUUGCGAUGAAUCAGAGCCCGCUGGCAUGGCAGUUGGAGAACGUUGUUGCCGCCCCUACCAGCCCUAGCCCGACUCCGGAUCACAUCCCUAAGUCUAUUUCCUGUGCUCCUCCCUCUGAUCCUUGCGGUGGAGCGGUGCAGGAUGGUGAGAUGAUGGAGAUCGAGGCCCCUGUUUCCGUCGAUGAUCAGCC
Molecule: long non-coding RNA, 58839 nt
Filed under: Musa acuminata (dwarf banana)
Lineage: Eukaryota; Viridiplantae; Streptophyta; Magnoliopsida; Zingiberales; Musaceae
Description: long non-coding RNA (MACU_LNC003805)
Source: RNAcentral